AGCCAAUAUUCCAUUUACCUCUACAACAAAAAGUUUUAAGUAAACAAUCCUAAUGCCUGCAGACAAAUAAAACGCAGUAAGAAUAUUCAACUUAAAAAUCUGAAAGCCAUCAUGGUGAAUUGCCUUCUUAGGUGAAGUUCCAUGCUUUACUACUCUUGACAGAAAUGAGCAAAAGCUUCCAUACAACAGAUUUUGAAAAUGAUGAUGCCAAUAGAUACUCAUUCAAUCCAUUGAAACUCCUAAGGUUCAUUGUUCAUAGAGGUUUACAGAGUUUUGGUCAUCAAAUAGCUCAGACCAUAAUCCCAAACAAAAAACGAGUGAAAAUUAGAUCACGAGCAGCUAAUUGUAAAUUUUAACUUAACUCUUCAUCUCCUUUGUAAACAGGAAACAAAAUGGAGAUGCGCAAAAUGAAUAAGGAGAACAUUUGAACUCAAAUGAAAUGAGGGCACGAAAGCAAACAAAUGGCAUACACAACCAAACAAAGCCUCAAUCAAAAACUAAUCAACGAUUAAAAGAAAUAAAAAUUGGUCAGAGAAUGAACUCCAAAUUCGGGAGUGAAGCAAGAAGUUUUCAUUAUUUCAGAAGCUCCUGUACAAAUUAAUCAGUUAUGCUCUUUCGAAACAAACCUAAAUUCCAAGAGAAACAGAACCCAAAAAAUUUGCAAUUAUACGCAAAGGAAGUGAAGCACAGCAUUCUAUUACACAUAGGAAUUGUAUAACAAGAGAUUGAUAUAUCGGAUUAGAAGAACUCAAUUCUAAUUUGUGUCAAAAAUCAAAAUUAGAAGAUUUCACAUUUCGAGAGGAACAAGCAACAGGUGAGGUUAUAAAUUUCAGCCAUAACUAGCUAAAAAUGCUAAACUUAACGGGUUAUUUUCGUGGAUUUUCUCGGGAAACAAACAGAAAAUUACGGUUUAGAGAGCUGACUAACCUUUUGGCUUUCAGAAAUUAGAAUUGAGAGGAUCGCGCGCCAAAGUGGAAGAGGGGAAGAAAAAGUGCGGGUUUUAAUAGGGUAUUAGAAAAGGAAAUUUCAUUAGUUUGCGAGGGUAAAAUAGGAAAGACGAUCACUAUUUUAUCAUUGAUAAUUAUUAACCGAUUUUUUUUCAAAGAAAAAAGAAUAAUCAAGGAUAUUUUAUUCUCAUUUGCAACCUUUAUUUCUUUUAAAUGCUAUUAGAAAAACAGGACAACAAGGAAAUACAUUUUUUUAAUAUUUUUCCUGAAGGCAAAAUCAAUUGUUUAGCUUCUUAUUUUAUAAUUAAACUCCAUAAUUUAGUUUAAAAAAAAGUGUUUGAAAAUUACUCUGAAUAAUAUCCAACAGACCAACAAAGUAAUCGUUUUUAUUUUUUUUCAUUUUUACCGGAAAUUUAAAACUUAAAAAUAUUGAAAGCUAUUGUAAAUUUUUUUAUUAUCAACCUCAUAAUUUAAUUUUUUUGGGGGAGGGCAGUGGGGGUGGUGGGAAUUGAAACUUUUUUUUUAAUUUCCAAGAAUUCCACCCUCUAGUUUUUCCAUUAGUAUUACUUAUCUUGAUACCCAUCUUAACUGAAUGCUAUAAUUUUUUUUUUCAAGAGUGCUAUACAUUCACUCACAGACAAAAGGCUUUUCCGCAGCAAUAUUAUUGUUUAAACUAUAACAAAGGGGAAAUCAAACACAUAAUACGGAAACUUAAGGCUCAAUCUACAAAAUCUAGAGCUCUGAACUACAUAAAUUACACUUGAUGAUCCUCUACAAGAUGAAGCUUGUUCAAUAUCUCAUCCAAAGCUUGUAAAGUAACCUUGUAACGAUCUUGAGAUCGCCUGCCUUCCUCGACGACCUGCACGAUGCGUUUAUACAAAUCAUCAUACCUGUGCGCCGGAUUUUUAAUAUCAAUGCCACUGCAGCUGUGAUCAAGAACAUAAGAACGUUUAACAUCUUUUCUCCAUCGAGAAAGAAUGUAGUGAGAUGGGAUCUCCUGCAUGCCACUCUGGUUUAGAACACAAAGAAUGUGUCUGCAUAAAUAUCCUCUGCAAUUGAACAACCCACAAACACAAAGCACCUCUAAGUCGGAGGCAUUGUACAAAACAUCGAAAGCCCUUGAAUCUUUCUCGUUGCUACCAACCUCGAAUUCUUCCUUCACUAUGUAUGUUAUAGGUCCAUCAGCACUAACAUGUUUUGUGCUAUAGCAAGAGUACAUAGCCUCCACCUCCGUCUGAAACUUCCUUAACAUUUCAUUUGUGUACAGUUUUGAGAGUUGAAAUUCAUAGUAACAUCUUGGUUUCUGGAUACAACUUGAAUUUCUUGAAUCCAUAUCUGCCAAGGCUUCCAGUUGAUAAUUCGCCCGCAGUGCUUGAUCAUACUUGUCUAAGAAUUCUUUCAAAGGAGUAUUCUUAUCAAGAUAUCCUUCAAAGUAUGAAGUAGAAACCUCAUUCUGCAGGAACGAAAACACUCCUGAUAAAUAAGCUUCCUUCAAAUAAACAGGAGCCCACCUUUUACGAUCUUCAUAUAAAGUUUGAAUCCAUCCGUGAUCCUUUAUUCCAUGACGUUGAAUCAUGUCUUCCCAAGCUGCUUCAAAUUCCUCAGGCCUGAGAGAGUGAUAAAUUGCUCUAUGUAAUGCAGCUCUAAUAGCUUCAUAUUCAAACAAUCCUUGGAGUUUCUCUGGAAUUUUUUGCAUGAUGCAUGACAAUGAAAAGCAAUGAUAAGCUCUUGGGAAAACAUCGCCAACAACAAUUUGCAAGAUUCUACAUUGGUCAGUGAUGAUUGUUUGUGGAGAGUGUCCUAACAUACAUGUAAGCCACGCCCUAAACAACCAUGUAUAUGAUUCUAUGGUCUCACUGGCAAGUAAACCACAACCCAACAACACUGAUUGUCCAUGAUGAUUCACCCCAAUGAAUGAAACCAGUGGUACAUCAUAUCUUUCAGUCAAGCACGUAGUAUCAAUUAAGACUACAUCACCAAAGUACCUAUAUGCAACUCUUGACCUGGUAUCAGUCCAGAACAGGUUUCUCAAGCAUCCCUUUUCAUUUAGAUCCACUACAUUAAAAAAGUUUGGAUCUGUCAACUGCAAACGACAAAAGAAACUCUGGACAGCUUGUGCAUCUCCUGGUUUAAGCUUCAAUUGAUUUGAGCUAUUAACAUUAUUUCCAAAUACUCCAUUAACGUCUACAUUACCAUUUCCCUCGGUAUCGAUGAUAAGAGUUCGAAACAGUCUAAUUUUUUGAACUUCUUCAGCACUAUCUAAUUGCAAUGUUCUUUUGGUUCCAAUACCUAUGUGCUUAUGUGACUUGUAAAACUUUCCGCUUCUUGGGCUUAACAAGUGGUUAUGCUCAAGCUCGACUUCAAUGAUUCUCCACCUUUUGGUUUCCAUCAACCUAAACUUUAUCAUUGCUGGACAGCCAGUUCUUGUUUCUGGUCUUGGGCGGUUUGCCUCGCUUUUCUUCUUGAAGCCUGCACUACUACAGCUCAGCUUUCCUCUAUACUUUUCUCUACUCUUUCGGUACCAUGUAUUGCUAACUCUAACACCAAAACCCUGUUCCUUGGCAUAGCAAUUGUAAAAGUAAUAAACGUCAUCAUACGUCUCGAACUCCAUUCCAACAGCAGGAGGCAAUGGAUUUUGGAUUAUCCCAAUUUGUCCAACAUAUUCAGUCAUUGCACAAUCUCCUACGACCUCAAAAUCAUCAGCAUCAUCAUCACCUACUGGUUCAGUAUUCAGAGAAACUUCAUCCAUCUACAAUAGAUGUUUAAUGAAGUGAACUUUAAAGAGAAAUAGCAAAAUCAGUUCAAGGAAUGAUAAUAUAACCAUACAGUUACUUUCACAAAGCUGCGUAUUUCAUCAAUACCUUAACAACAUACAACUGCCUGAGAACAUAUAGACAUGUCAUAGACGCUUGAAUUAAGUAUUGGUACAAAUUAGCACACAUCAUGUGGGACACAAUUUCAGUCACUAAACCCAAUGCCUUUUUUUUUCACAUCAUACCAAGGAACGGAUUAAACCCAAUACCUUCUUUUACGCCAUACCAAAGAACAGAUUAAAUCAUCAAUGAAAAAUUAAUCACAUAAUAAUUUAACUAGACAAAUAAAGAGCUCGAAACAGCACAAAACUUGAAUAUGAUUAUGAUAAUUGUUGAGUCCUUGUAUCUACAGCUUUCCUUCAACAAGAAGAUUAUGAACAUAAACUACACACAAAAAAUUUAUUUUAAACUGACAUAAAUUUAUUCAGUUACAUUGAAACACAAAAAAGGAAGCAGGAGCCAGAGAAAAACAACAGCAGAGAAACUUAUUUCCAGAAGGUUUACGAAAUAAGGAAUUUAUUAAGACACAAAAUUUGAGGUCAACAAUAAGAAUUUGGUUCUCAUUCUCUUUUUCUUCAUUUUUCACUUAUUGAUGGAGUUAGCGUACAAUCCUAAAUGAUAAAACCCCAUCUCCAUCUUUUUGAACUAGAGUUAAAGCAAAGCUUUUUAAGAUGUUUUUCCCUAAAAGACUCAAUAGUACAAUGUUUUUCAAUAUUAAAUACACAACUCAAUCUUCCCCUAAUUUACUCUAAUAAUCUCUUAACUAAGGAAGAUUAAGCUCCACUUGUAAGCUAAAACAAGUUUCUUAAAUCAAGCCCCAAUGCUCUAUGCUAUUCAACAAGGCCUCAUAAAUGAUAAAACUACCUCUACAAAGAUACCCAUUUUAAUUUCGCAAACUAAAAUCAAACUCCUGAAACGUAACGAGCAUUAAAACAAACAAGUCCGAACAAGAACUCAAAAAUGAUACGUAAACCCGUUUCGACAAACAGUUUCCAAUCAAUGAGCAAAAAAGUUAAUGGACAACAUGAAAUUCAAACGAAACAUACCUUAGGUUGAUAAAUUAGUAGCGCAAAAGAAAUUUUAGCGAGAUAUGGGAUCAGGGAUUUUGCCACGGUGAUGUUAAUUGCGACAUUCGGGUGACUCAGCAGCCUUCGAGGCUGAAACUUUGAUUGACCAAAAGCUUCCGGUUCGUUGAUUAUCUAAUUGCAGAAACGAAACUGGCAGUGUACAGAAGAAGUACGCUGAUUUGAUAAUUCUGUGAAAAUCAUUGUUUUUUUUUUCAGAUUUUUAAUGUGUUCGAUAAAAUAUCAAAAUCUCAAAAACUUUUGUCUUUCAUUUUGGGGGGGAAAAACCCAUUGAGAUCCUUAUGUUUUUUCUUAUAUAAUCUGGCUUAAUAAUUUGCAAAGUCUAUUACUUUGCACCCAUGCAUGCUGCGUUCCAAUUUACAAAAUUGUACGUGAGUGCAUCCAGCUAAAAUUUGUAAAAAGAAAAUAACAAUAACAUGUUAAAAAUGUGAUUAUUAUGAAGAAAUUUUAAUUUAGUUAAAUAGGUGACGAUGGAUAGGUAUAAAAUCUGAGAUCUUUUAUAAGAUUAAUAAAUAUGUUGAGUUUGGAUUAGUUCAAUUUUAAAAUAAUAAUAUUCAAAAUAUCUCUUAAAUCAUUAUAAACCUCAAAUCUAUUUUAAUUUUAUUUAAAAGAUAAAAGAAAAAUAGGUUAUGUUGGUGAUUUUUUAUUAUCUUUUUAAUAAAAAUGAAAUAAAUUGAUGUUUAUAAUUAUUUAAAGUAUUUUAAAGACUGUCAUUUUAUGAGAGAAAAAUAUUUCACUUUUUUUUAGUGUGAAAGACCGAAAAAGGACAAAGCAAGUUUCCCUAGUUUUUAUUUAUUUGAAAUUGGUCAUCUCAUAUACUUCACCCUUCAACACUAUAAUUUUUUUGGUUAUAAUUUUAUUAUUUUUUCUCUUUUACACAUGCAUGUGAAUUACUUUUCUUUAAGCUCCUGAAUAUUUAAGACAAAUCAUGGAAGAGAUGAGAGUAUAACAAGAUGAUCAAAAUAUGUAACAAAAAAAUUUUAUAAGUGAAAAAUAUGUUAGAGACUUACAGUGGAAGUAAAACUCUGAGGUGAUGUUUGAUUUGAAGAAAAUGGAGGAAAUGAAAAGACUGGAAUGUAGAGGAAAAGAGAGAAAAGGAGAGGAGAGGAGAGUGAAAUUUUUUUCUAAUGUUUGGUUUGUCACAUAAUUAUACAAAGAAAGGAAAUCUCUAAUUUUUUAUUUAGACAAUUUUAACCUUAAUAAGUAUUAAGUUUUCAAUAUUUAUCAUGUGUAUAAUUAAAAAAAAAAAAGUAAAUGGUAGAAAGCGGUUUCUGAUUCCGGCCACAUCGCCCGCAAUGGAAGGUACUUAUCAGAACAUCAAGAGCCAGCCAUCAUUCCCUAGCCAUCACUGCUGUCUGAACACUGCCGGAAAGCUGCCGAUUGAACCGCGAAAAGUCGUGGAAAUCGCUGCCUCAAAUCGGUGAGUUUCGCCCUUUUCUGGUCACGCCGUCGCCAUGGCUUUGUCCAUCAAGCCUGCCACUUCCAUUUUCAACCAUCCAUAGCCACUAUUAAUUGCCAAAUCACCGCCGAUCAGCGGGAUCUGUGGAAGUUAAAAAGUUUCUAAAUUUUUUUAACUGGAUUUGAACAACAUACGACCAUUUUUUUAUCUCGAUAACGACGUAGUAAUGUUGAUCGUUGGUCGGCAAGUCGAAUGGUAGUGGCAGUGAGUAACACGCGCCAAUCACAUCGGCGGCGGCAGCGGCACUAUCCGGCGACUGUUAAAAUUAAUAUUUUAUAUUUUCAGAUUAAAUAAAUUUAUUUUAUUAAACUUUUUAAAUCAUUAUUUAAAUUUAAUUAAUUUAAAAUUAUCUAUAAUGUUGAAUUGAUAAAAUAAAUUUAUAAAUAAUAAUUAUGUGAUUACAUUAAAUAAGUUAAAAAGUUGAAGGGUUAGUUUUGGAAGAUUUAGUUUCCAACGCAAAGGGAAUUUGAAUUCUUCACUUCUUAGUGUGGAAUUCAAAUUCUAUAUUGUAAUGGAUAUUAAAUUUCAAUAGAAAUUAAAUUCUUAUAAGUUAUGUCAAACCAAACAACGAAAAUAAAAAAGAAAUUUAAAUUAUUUUCCUUUCCUCCACCCUCUCCUUCCAACUAAAUACAUCAUGAAAAUAGAGAUAUUGAUUAAUUUAGAAGAGAUGUAAGCAAAAAAUAUUCAAAAAAAAAAAGCAAUAUGUCCCUUUGGAGGGCAAACUUGUCAGUUUCAAAAAAGUACAUGCUUUGGAUUGAUAGUUGUAGGAUAUUUGUUUUGUCACUAUGUAUUAGUUGGAGAAGUCCAGCCUUGUGGAGAAUGUUAUGAAAGAGCAAAGGAUAUUCCUGAUAGCUGAUAGAGCUCUAUCUGAUUAUGUAUCCAGUGAAUGGAUGUGUUGUUGGAAGAUAUCUGAGUGCAUUAGUUCAUAUGUGUCUGUCAAUGUGCUUUUAAUGAUUUUUCCACCUGUUUGUUGUAAAAGAUUAUUGUAAAUUGAAAUGAACUUGAUGUUUUAAUAUUUUCUUCCGUAAAUUGAAAUGAACUUGAAUUAAAUCUCGUUGAAUUUAAUAUUAUCUCCUUAGUGGAAUUUCACCUAGUAUGUAUUCAGUUGUGUUGUCUAUAAUUUUGCAUUCGAGUAAGUUUCACCUAAAACAUUAGCAUGAGUAGUGGCCCUUGAACCUUUGGUCAAAAUUAUUGUUAUUAUUUCUGACUAGAUGUAAAUUUUGUAUUAAAUCUCGUUAACACAAUUCUUAAUUAAAAGUAUAGGUUAGUGUUGGUGCAAGAUUUGCCACACCAAAUUCUGCCUAGCUGUCAAAAGUGCAAAAUAAAUGAAGAGAAAGCACAAAUACACGACUUGAAUAAGGAUACAACGAAACUUAAAUUCAAGAGAAAAUGAUAGCUAUAUCCCAAGAUUUGAAAAAGUGGUCAUGUAGAUUUUUAAGAUUUCAAUAAGCGACUGAGAUUCAAAUAAUAUCCUUUAAUUCUAUUAACAAAAAACAAAGACUCAAAUAUUUUAUGAUAAAUAAAAAUAUAAUAUUAAAAUAUAUGUGAUAAUAUACACAUUUUAAAUACUUUCAAUCCAAAAAAAUAGUUAUGUUUUACAAUCUAUUAGACAUAUUUUAUUAAAUUAAUAUAAAUUUUCUAUAAAAUAAGAAUAUAAUAUUAAAACAAAUUCACAGAAAUUUAAAGAAUUUUGAAUGUAAAAUAAUUUUAAUAUAUUAAUACGUGAGUUUUUUUAUUAAUAUAAAAAUUAUUUAACUUUAAGAUUUUUUAAAAUCUUUACAAUAAGUAUAAAUAUAUUAUUUACAUUUAAAAAUAUUUAAAUAUUAUUAACCUACAAUUAUAUUUGCAUUUGUUAGAAAUUUUUAAAGUCAAAUAUUUUGCACUUCUAUAUUAUUAGAAUUAUUGCACACAAAGAAAGAAACAUAUACGUUUAGAAAUUGUUUUCUUUUAAAAUAGAGAUGAUGAUUAGUAUAAGGAUGAAAAAAAGGAUAAAGAAUAUUAAUGAUUAACGAAAACUCUAUACAAAUUGAUUUUAGUAGGAAAAGAGUGAGAUGAAUGAUUUCUUUUACAGUUAGAAACAUAGAUGAUGAUUAUUAUAACGAAGAAGAAAAGAUAAAGAAUAUUAAUUAUUAAUGGAAUCUCUAUGCAAAUUGAUUUCAGUAGGAAAAAAAAUGAGUUAAAUGAUUUAGAGUGCGUUUGGAAUUGAGAUUGGACAGGCAUAGAUUUUAAGUUACAACACUGAAGUGUUUGGUAAAUACUUUCAGUGUUUGGUAAAUACUAGCUGCUGCAGAUUGAAAGUUAUGUUGAUAUGAUUUUUCACAUGUAUCAUAGAAAAUAUAUUACAUCUUUAAUAAUUUUUUUAAAAUUUGUAUUUGCUAUAUAUUGUUUUUUUUAUAUAGUUAUAACUUUUUUUUUUCCACAGCAGCUGUAGCUUAAAAGCUACAGCACCUCAAUCUCAAACAAGUCCUUAGACAUUCAUAGUGUGUUUAUUUUUUGGAUUGGUGAAUCAAAAUUAUUGACAACGCUAACUUCAUCUUCACCGUUCGCAAUCCAACAGCAGCAAUUGUCGCCAAUAAUGAUAUCGCCGAUGAUGAUGACAAUAAUAAUAAUAAUAAUAAUAAUAAUAAUAAUAAUAAUAAUAAUAAUUAUUAUUAUUAUUAUUAUUAUUAUUAUUAUUAAUUAAUUAAUUAAUUAAUAUAUUAAUAUAUUAAUGUUAAUAUUAUUAUUAUUAACAUUAACAAUAAUUAUUAGUAAUACAAUUUUUUGAAUAAAAAUAAUCACAAUAAUUAAAAUACAAAUUAACAAUUAUGACAAUAGUUAAUUAAUGUCUUUUUAGUAAUUUGUAAUAAUCUAACUCAUUUUAAUUCUGAUUAUUACAGCUUAAGUAAAUAAAUUAUUAUGAUUCCUAUUCUCCUUUUCUAUUUUAACUCACUUCGAUUCCAGUCUAUUCUGAUUUUUGUUUAAUAAACGCACCAUUAGUGCUAAAGUAAUAUUUCAUACAUAGAAAAGUAAAAACUACACCUAAGGUUAAGGGAAAGGACUUCAAAACUCUCUUUUGAUCAUAAUACAUUUUGUACUAAUUAACUUAAAGAUUUUGAAUCUAAUAUUUUAUAAUAAAUAAAAAUAUAUUCCUAAAAUAAAUAUAAUAUCAAUAUUUAAAAUAUGUUUUAAUAUUUUACACAUUUUAUUAUAUUAAAGUAGAUUUUAUAAUAAAUACAAACGUCCUAUUAAAAUGAAUAUAUAAAAAAUUUAGAAAAUUUAGAAUAUUAUAUAAAAUAAUUUUAAUAUAAUGCGUGAGAUAUAUUUUAUUAAUUUAAAAUGUUAUUUUACCUAAAAAAUAUGAUAAAUUAAUAAUUACAUAUUUGAAGUUAUUUCAAAUAUUAAAAAAAUUUAAUAUUAUUAGUCUUUUAGAUAGAUUAAAUUAUUUUUUUUAUAAGAGAUAGAUUAAAUUAUUUUAAAAUGCCUUAAUUAUUUUUACUUUUAACGUUACCGGCCUUUCUUUUAUUUUAUUGCAAAUUAAUGCUAACAAGAAAAAGCUAGAUCAUAUUCCACAAAAGCAAAAGUGACAAACACAACCAGCUGGAAUCUUUUAUAAAACUACAAAUUAAAAUGGAUUUUUUUUUUUGAUAAAUUACACAUGAAAGUGGAUUCUUUUGAAUAUAAGUGGGGUAGGCUCUUUUAUUUUAUUUUUGAAUAUUGUAUAACGGGACUGUAGACUCUUUUAUUAAACUACAAAUUGUAUAGUCUUUUUAAAAUUGUUAUAAAUUAAUGGCCCCCACAAUCCUCAACAAUUGUACCGAUAUUCACAAGUUGGUGGCCCCUACAAUUCUGUUCCGAUAAUUUAACUGUGCAAGUGCUCAUUCACAAUCUUCCAGGUCAUGCUCUCAAUAAUUGUUUUUUUUUUCCUGCAUUCCCUUUGGGAAAUUUACGAAAAUAAUCAUUAAUAUUUUAUUAUUUUUACAAUUAACCGUCUUAAUUUUUUUCUAUCAACAUUAGCCAAACACAAGCCUUUCUUUCCAAAUUACCCUUCUUUACAGAACAAAACCAACAUUGUUUCUCCCAUAUCGCCAAACCAAAAGCAGCUUUUUAUUCUUAAAUCAUCAGCCAACGGCGACCGCAAAAGACAACGGUAAAAGUGAUAUUCGAUCAUAAUCUAUCUGGAUCCAACACAAAUCUACAUCACUCAGUGGUAUGAAUUAUUUUUUGAACUUACUGAACUCAGUCGGGUGAAUCUGAGUCUGGCGACAGGCUGCCUGUCGCAGUAAAACUUGGUGCGACAGGCAACCUGUCGUACCAAACCUUGGUGCGACAUGCACCCUUGGAGAUUUAUUAAAAAUGUAUUAUUUUAAAUUUUAAUAGGACUCAAAUAAUUUUUUUUUUAUAAUUUCAGGCUUAAUGGAUUCAGUUGUACUUGAAUUGUGUUACGAUGGUUGGUGGGAGACAUUAGAGAAUGGCUGUAUGGAGUACGUGAAUGGUAAAAAUCGAGCUUUUUUGGUUGGAAAAAAUUACUUGUUUGAUCAGUUAUUGGCAAGAGUAUACGAGGUGUUAAAAAUAAACCCUAAUGACUAUAGUAUCACAAUGAAGACAACUUUGAGGUCUAGUAACACAUUAUAUCGUAUAUGUGCAAUGCCCAUGGAUAUAUGUGAUGAUGAAAUGGUGAGGGUUGUGUUGCAUAUGGCAUCUGACGUAGCUAAUUUUGGAUGCAUUCCUAUAUUCGUGACCACAUCACCUCGACUUCCGAGCGAAGGUAUUGAGCCACAUGUCGAUAUAGAAACUUCGUUUAGAGCAAAUAUGUCUGGCCCCGAUAAUGAUGAAGAGGUGUUGCCAAGGACAAUAUCGCUGCAGCAAUAUUACUCUCCAAUCCACGACAAUUAUGAUAACAUUGAUGAUAAUAGCGUUACGUUACAUGAUGUUGGAGCAACGGUAUUUCCAAUAACAACGUCGUUGGAGCAACGGUAUUCUCCGUAUCACAACAAUGAUUUUCGGGACAAUGAUGAUUUUCAUAAUGAGACAGAGGAGGAUAAUGUUUGUGCAGAACCUUCUAAUAAUACGAGGCGGGGCACUCGUUUCAAUAAUGAUGGUGAUGAUGGAGGAGUUGGUCAUUCGAAUGUUCCGUCGUUUCAGCAUGAGGAUGAGUGUGAAGACAAUACUCCUGUGAAUAACAGAGGCAAUAGACCUAUUCCUUCUAUGGUUCGAUCGAGAAGGAGAAUUGACCCCCUUACAAGUCUUGCUCCAACUUUACCUUCGAACAUGGUUGCUCCAAGCUUUGUUAGCAGUUGUGACUCAGAUGAUAUCAGCGUGGGUAAGCUAUUUGCUGAGAAGAAUGAGCUUAUAUUACAACUACGCAAGGUGGCCUUUAGAGAUAAGUUUGAUUUCAAGAUUGCACGGUCUACUACGACACGUUUCGAGGCUCACUGUUGUUCAGAAUCAUGUAAAUGGCGUAUUCGAGCAACUAGAAGUUCGAACGAGCAAAAUGUUCCUUGGGUGGUGAAGAGAAUUGAUAAUGUACACACUUGUCAUAAUGAGGUAUUGGUUGAUGGACGUCAUCAAGUAAGGAGCCGGGUUGUCGGUCAUAUUAUCGCAGAAAAAUAUAUUCAAGAUAAGAGGAUUUAUACUCCCAAUGACAUAAGAGCAGAUAUGCAACAGGAAUACGGUGUUCAGUUAACAUACCAGCAUGCAUAUAGGGCGAGAGAAGUUGGUCUUGAAAUAGUUCACGGCAACCCUGCAGAGUCAUACAACUUGCUCCCUAAAUACUCUCACGUACUAACUACAACGAAUGAGGGUACAGUCACUCACCUCGAGCAGGAUGGAGAUGGUAAUUUCUUGUACUAUUUUGUAGCACUCGGAUAUUUCAUCAAGGGGUUUAUGCAGUACAUUCGGCCUGUCAUUGCUGUAGAUGGUACUCAUCUAAAGGGAUUAUAUCGUGGAAGCAUGUUCGUGGCAACAUGUCUUGAUGGUAACAAUCAAUUGUAUCCGUUAGCCAUUGGGAUCAUGGAUUCAGAAAAUAAUGAUGCUUGGGAAUGGUUUAUGAUGAAGUUACACGGAGUGAUUGGUGAUAGACCUGAGUUGGUAAUUAUCUCUGAUCGAUGCACUGCCAUAAGGAGAGCCGUUCUUGAAGUAUUUCACAAUGCAACUCAUGGCGUUUGUUUUUACCACGUCAAAGGUAACAUUAAGUCACAAUUUAGAAUGUCCAAAGCUCUUUGGGAUGAAUUUGAGCAUGCCUUUAUUAAUGCAGCAAAAGCAUAUGACCAUGAGGAAUUUAAGAGACAACUUGAAGGGUUGUGGAUGAUCCACUUGGGUGCGGCUGAUUACCUAGAAAAUAAUGUCGGCACGUGUAAUUGGGCAAGGUCUCAGUUUCAAGGUAGGAGGUACAACAUUCUUACCACCAACAUCGCGGAGAGUGUUAAUGCUUUCAUGAGGGAACCUCGAAAAUUUCCUGUUACUCAUCUUGUUGAUCACUUCAGGAAAACAUUAUAGCAAUUGUUUUAUGAUAGAAAAAUUGUGGCUGAAUCAAUGACUACUCGGCUAACAACAUGGGCGGAUGAAAUAGUCACUGAGAGGAGAACUAUAGCUGAAAGAAUGAUAGUUCGGCCGGUGUCUCCACAUCGCUUUCAAGUUAUAGGCGGUGGGCUUAAGGAAGGGUUGGUUGACUUGCAAAAGAGAACUUGCUCCUGCAGAGUGUUUCAGCUUGAUCAGCUUGUGUGUGCUCAUGCAAUUGCGGCGUGUCUAACACACCGGGUGGAUUUUAUUAACCUUUGCUCGGACUUUUACACUACAGAAUCGUUGGCGAUGGCUUAUGCACAACCAGUGGAGCCAGUUGGUGAUGUGGCUGAUUGGGAAGUUCCAGAUGAAAUUCAGGAGAUGCAGGUAUACCCACCAGUUGAGGCACCACCACCUGGCCGUCGUAAAGAGCUCAGAAUACCCUCGGCUGGCGAGGACGUUGACCGGCGGACUGUAAGAUGCGGCCGGUGUCAUGAACUAGGCCAUAAUCGUAAGCGAUGUAAGAAUCCUAUUGCGUCGACUCGAAGUUAGUUGUAUUUUGUGUGUUAUUCGUUGGUUAAAACUAUUAUUGUUUUUGUGUUACAUUGGUUAAAACUGUUAUUGUUUUUUGUAUUUCGUUGGUUAAAACUGUUAUUGUUUUUUGUGUAUUGUACACUUAUAUUCAUAAAACUUUAUUUUAUUUUAAAGUUCAAAAUGUGAGGCAUUAAAAUUAUAUAAACUUAAGUGCGGAAAUUAAAAAAAAUGCAAAUUUCAACAUUGAAAUUACUACAUAGGUCUACAAUAUAAUAUCGUCAUUAAAUAUAUCAACCGCAAUCUUCUUUCUAAAGUACUCGACAUGACUAGCGUUAAACUCCAAUCUAAGCCUGAACAUUAAAUACAUCGUAACCAUCAAUACAAAAACACUGCAAUCGCUAGUUCCGGGCUCUUGUUGUGGUGCGCUCUUAACUGCGAUAACUUUCCACGGGUCUUCACUCCGCAACUCAGGUCGGAUAUUGUAGAAGCCAACAUAUUCAAACCAUCGAGGGAAUAUAACUUCAAGUGGCUUGAAUUUCAACUUGUACUUUUUGUCGUCGCGAAAUGUGAGUAAUGAGUCAUAAAUCCAGACUUUAUUUUUCCGAAAGUCAACUCGUGCUAGUACCCAAUGUGCGCCGUCCAAGUUAACAGGGAUGAGUAACUGCAUAUAAAAAUUAAAAAAACAUGUUCGUUAUAUAUGAAAUUGAAAUACAACAAAGAAAAAGCAACAACUCGAAUAUUUUCAUUAUAGAGCAUGUGAAAUGUAAUAAAAUACACACCAUAUCGACAUCCGUCAUUAAUUUUGACAUUGUGUGCUGUCGCCCACAAAGAUAACUAUUCAAGCGGUCGUCGAAUACCGUUGAAUCAACUGCACAAUUCCUGUUAUUCCAUAACUGAUUCAAGAACACCUAGUACAUAGAUAACCAAGAAAUGCAUAAAUUAAUAAAACUUAAAGGCAAUAAUUAAACAAAUUAAAUAGUAUUUAUAAGUUUUGUCGGCACGUUACCCAAAAAAAUGUGUCAGUAUGUGUGACACGUUGGAGUAAGGCAUUUGGAUACUGCCGUUGUUUCUCGCUAAUCAAGCGGAGAUACUCGUGAAUAUGCUGUAGAGAAACAGAAAUAUUACGAUUUAAAAAAAAAUUUAUACACAAAUCCACAACAGUAUACACCACGAGGAAAAUAUAAAUACCUUAUCGCCUAGCCAUCCCAUCGAAGCUGUCCCCAAAAUUAUUUGAAAGAAUGACCGCGGGUGCUGGACUCUCCGGCGGACUCUGCUAUCACCAGUGAACCAUCGAUCAAACUCAGCAAACAAACUAGAGUCCUCCAAUCCUCUCAGUGGAUUUACAUCCACACUCGUACUCAUGUCAAUCGCAUGCUCCAUCAUUUGGGGUCGAGGUAACCUCCGGACGUUCUGUCCACGCCUGACCGGAGGAAUCAUGUAAGGACUGUUAUAAACAUACGACGGUAUGUACGCGCGGCCGAACUUACUAACGCCCGGAGGCACCUCUGUGAACACCUGCAUGCUCUCCCCACUAACAUCCCCGUAUAAACUAUACAAUGACGUGGGCGUAGACAAAUUUUCAUUGCCCACGUCAGUAUACACUCCAUAGUCAUCCGGGGCCUGUACAUUCGCCAAAAAGAACAUAUUAAAUAAUUAUCAAAUUAAAAGUUAAACGAACAUAAUUAUUUAAUUUAAAUUAGCUUACCGCAUACGAGCGUGCAGUGGGAGAAUCCUUAUUUGGAUGUUUAGAAAAUGUGUCGAUGAAGCCAACAACGGUUUCUUUAAAAUCUUUUAAUUCUGACUUUAUUUCAUACACGUUACGAUCAAUCUUAUCCAGCCGUCGUCGUACGUAAUCAUUAAACUGCUUUGUCCUCGACUAUUACAAAAGAAAAAAAUAAAACUUUAGAAUAACAAUAAAAAAAUAAUAAUUUAUAAAGGAAAAUAUCGUAUAUUAUUUAUAACCUCAUAAUCCCGUGCGUCAUCAGAGUUGUCUGUUUGCUGCUGGUGGUCAUCAACAGCCACCUCAUCCUCAAAAGUGUCAUGACGCUGCUCUGGUAUUGGGUUUAGUAUGUCGUCAUGAUCAUCAUGCUCGUCCGAUUGUCUUGUAACCGACGGCAUCGCGUUGAUUGAGGGUUGGUGCUGUAUAAAGUAUCAUUUAAAAUUACUAAAUGAAAAGUCAAAAAUUUCGAUAAAAUUUUUUUUAGUACUUACAGUAUACCGACCUUAUGAAUCCAGUCUGGAAUGCUUGGCAAGUAAUCCUUCACAGAGAGCCAAUAUUUUCUGCUACUCUCUUUUGAAUUUGGCUCAAGAGUUUGUAAAACGUCCGUCUGCCAUAAAUUCAAUUGAAAAUUUUAAGUAAGUAUACCCAACUUAAAUUUAGUAAAGUUAAAAAAUAAGUAAUACAUAUUACUUAUAAGACGAGAUUCGUCGUUGAAGAACGAAUAAACCUCUGCAAAGUUGAUUCUCGAAGACGCCAUGGGCUUCCAUUGCAGAAUGCGGGGAAUCUUACUCUUCGUUUUGACGACCCAUGUUGAUGGCAACCCUCCGAUUGCUUCGUAAAUCCAAGCCUACAACAAACCAAAGUGAAAAAUCAAAUAAAACAACUAUCAAAUAUUUAAUACUAUAAAACUUAUUAAUAAACAAAAAAAAGCACCUGCACCCCAGACGUAAAGCCGUAAAGAUUGUAUUUUUCAAUAUUAUGAUCUGGAUUUUUCAACCGAGUCUUCUUAAAUUUCUCGUCUUUCUCGAACAGUGCAUUGUCAAGACUCUCGUAAAUCAUUUCCCACGACAAUAGACCCCAUGGCGCUUUCGGAAGUACUGUAUAUCAUCAACUUGGUCAAGCCAAUCGAAAUUAAUUUGACAGUGAUUUUUUCUUGCAUUUAGUACUUUGUCCGCAAAAUAAAACAGCGCAAUCUUUAAUGCGUCCAUAUCGUCCAUUUCCUCGAAAUUCAACUCCUUAAAUACUGCAUCAAAUUGCUUCACAUUAAUCUUACGAUGCACACCACCAAAAUACGUAUUCCGUAGCCUCUGCUCCAUUUCAUCAUUUUUUUCAUUGGUAUCAACACCAAAUGAAAGUCCAGUAACCAAGCACCAUUCGAUAAUUGACAAGCGAAUCAAAUGCUUACCAAUUUGAAACCAUAACUGAUCCUCACAGCUAUCUUCUUCAUGGGCCACUUGCCGCAGUAAACGAUUGUGCAAAAUUACCCCACUAAAUGGAAAACUUCGGCACUCCAAGAAAUGCCCAAAUAUAUCCUUUUUGAACAUACUCAACUGCCGCUUUGUUAAUUUUUCCUCGAUGGCUUUUACGACCGAAGAUAACAUACACAUGCUCGAAAUUCGACCAGGAAAGUGAUCAGCAUAACGAAAAUACAUCUUGCCUACUUCAAUAUCCGGUGAUUCUGAUUUCGCCAUGUAUCUGUAAUAUUUAUAAAAUUAUUACAUUACAUUUACAGAAAUAAAAAAUUGACUCGUUAAAAAAAAAAACUCUAAUUUUUUGGUGCGACAGGCGCCUGUCGCUCCAAAAAACUGCCUGUCGCACCACAGCUGGUGCUCCAAAAUCGAAAACAAUACUCCCAAACACCACCAACUACCACAAACAUCAUCACCACCACUAUUAAUCUCAAGCUAUAACUAUUAUUAUUCUAAAAUCUCAUUUUAAAUUAAUGAAAAUAAGAAAAAUGACUAACCUAGGUUUUGUUGAAGGUUGUAGAUCGUAGAUCGGAUGCCGGUGAGAGAUGGAGCCGCCGCCGACGAGGGUUGAUGUCGCCGCCGAUGAUGGGAGUUGGAUCGGUUUGGGAGAGAUGAGUGAAAAAGGGAGUGUUGGGGAAGAGAUGAGGGAGGGGUAUUUUGGUCUCAAAUGUUGUUUUAUGGCUAAUGUUGAUAGAAAUAUUUUUGGGGGGUUAAGAUGAAAAAAAGCAAAUUUGUUUUGGUUAUUACUGUAAAUUUCCCAUUCCCUUUCAUGCUCUUAAUAAUUGAAGAGCAUACUUUUCAUUUUCAAAUGUGGAGCCGCAUCUAAUGUCGCUAAUUUAAUUUGGGAUUAAAUUAGGGGACCAUUAUAUUGCAGUGUGUACUAAUUUUUGUGUUUAUCUAAACUCCUUAAGUUUAAGACAUAUUAUGGCAUAAAUAAGAAUAUAACAAUAACAAAAGAGAUGCCGGAGCAGAUCAGCAGGGUUUGAAUAUGACCUUUGGCGGUUGCUUUUUUUUUGUGAUUUUUUUCAUUUUUUCCUUCCUGUCAUUUUAUCAUUUAUUUGGCUCUGUUUCUAUUGCGGGUGUUACUGCAUGCUUACUGUUGCUUGACAAAGUUUGCUAGCUUUUUGUUUGCAGUGCUGCUAUUCACCCCGAGUCAAGCUCCGAAAAUUUAUUAAACAACGCCGUUUCGAUAGUAACAAUUUUUUUCUUUUCCCUUUGUCUGUCUCUUUCAUCUGCUGUUUCUCUAUCACUUUUCAUUUUUUAUUUCCUUACUUCACAGCUGCCCCUAAAUUGUUAUUCUAGCAAUAUACUUUCUCAUCUUUGAAUUUUCAUCCUUGAGUACUCCCACAGCCGUAAUUUCAUCAUUAUAGACUUCACUUGGAAUGCUGUAUUUUUUCGAUUCUUAAGCUACUUCAAUUACAUCUUCCAGUAUAGGAUCCUCAUCUUCCUUUAUUUCUUCAUCUUAUGAGGUAACAAAUGGAUUUCACAACUCAUCUACUUUUAAGCAAUUACAUAUUAUACCUUGAAUGAUUCAACUGUUCCGACAGUUAAAGAUUUUAUGCUCAACCUGCAGUGCUACGAACAUUGUCCAUGAAAGAUGAGUUUCAGCAUAUAAAAUGAAAUAUAGAUGUUUAAUCUAAAAUAACCCUUCACUGCCAAGAAACCUAGGUCACAAAAUUCACAGAUAAUGAUAAAGAGCUAAAAAAUUUGAAAAACUCUACAGAUCACACAUCAAGCAAGAUAUCAUGUUUUUUUCCCUCAUUCGGUGGUGAUUGAUUCGCUUUUUGAUGAUGGAUAUGGUAUAAAAGUUUUGACCCAAUUUCAAGCAAACACAAAUAGAAACACAAACACAAUCGGGACUAGAGUUGUGGGCGAUUAUCUCAGGUGUACAAGUGAAACGGUGGUGGCUGUCGAUGGUGGUAGUGGGGUGGUUGGGUAUGCGUGAUGGCUAGAUUUUAGGACAAUAAUGGUUGGAGUUGACCUCGAUCAACGAAGGAAAGUGACAACAAUUUUGACAUCAAACGGUGCAUUUUUUAGCUUAGUAAAAUGGAGCCGUUUCGAAUUUGGGGUUUUAUCCGGGGUUUGACUCAGCGCAAGUAUCAUUUUCCUUUUGUUUAUUAAAUUUUUUAUGGUCACAAAGUAUUACUCGUUCUAUUUGAGAGUGAUGUGAAUCAAUUUUUCAAUUUUAUAUUUUGUGGUCAAUGUGAAUUUAAUUUCAUUUGUCUCCUGCAAUUAUGAAAAAAUUGCAGUCAUAAUAUGGAAAAGUACACCGGCAAAAACUUUGUAAAAGCUUCGGAGUGAUACGGGGAAUUUACUUACUACUGAGAGGACAAUUGGUGGCAAAGCUAUUCCAUUCAUUUUAUGUACAUCCAUCUAUUUAGUUAUUGAAGAUUAGUGGUCCAUUUAUAAAUUUCAGAUCGUCUCUCUCUCUCUCCCUCUUGAAGUAACAAUAUUUAAUAUAUCUAUUAACUUAUUAUAAAUUUUAAUUUACUCUCGAUUUAAAAUGGAGCAUGUCGAUAAAUUUUUUUUCUUCUUAAUAAAAUUGACGUAAGUUGUGUUUACGGUAGUUUGAAGUUUGAAAUAUUUUAAAGAUUAUUAUUCUAUAAGGGAGUAAUAUGAACUGAAAUUUACUUUUCAUGUGUGAAAUGAAAAAGGACGAAGCAAGUGUCCCUACUUUUAUUUUAUUUCAAGGAGGAGUCAUCUCACAUACUUUAGCUCUUAACAUUACAUUUUUUCUGGUUACAUUUUUAUUUAUUAUUUUUUUUAACACAUGCGUGUGGGGUGCUUUUCUGUAAGCUCCUUAAUAUAUAUUUAAGACAAAUCAUGGAAGAGAUGGGAUUAUAUCAAGAUGAUCAAAGCAUGUAAAGAAGAAAAAAGAAAAAAAAAUUAAGAAGUAAGACACUGAAAAUGGAGAAGAGAUGGAAGCAAAAGAUAUUCCAAAACAAAGCAAUCUAUCCCCUUUCGAGGGUAGACUUAUCAAGUUUAAAAAAGUACAUGCUUUGGAUUGGUAGUUGCAAUCAAGGGAAAAUAAAUAGGAUCCAAUGAAAUUUAAAUCUCGGAGAAAAUAAAUAAUCAUGCAGAUUUUCAAGAUUUUAAUAAGGGAUACUAAUAUCUUAUUUUGAUUAAUAACAUUCUUUCACUGUGUUAACUCAAAAAAAAUAUUAUAAUGCUUUACAAUAAAUACAAAUGUCCUAUUAAAUGAAUAUAUAAAAAAUUUAGAAUAUUUAGAAUAUUAUAUAAAAUAAUUUUAAUAUAAUGCGUGAGAUAUAUUUUAUUAAUUUAAAAUGUCAUUUUACCUAAAAAAUAUGAUAAAUUAAUAAUUACAUAUUUGAAGUUAUUUCAAAUAUUAAAAAAUUUUAAUAUUAUUAGUCUUUUAGAUAGAUUAAAUUAUUUUUUUAUAAGAAAGAGAUUAAAUUAUUUUAAAAUGCCUUAAUUGUUUUUACUUUUAAUGUUACCGGCCUUUCUUUUAUUUUAUUACAAAUUAAUGCUAACAAGAAAAAGCUAGAGCAUAUUCCACCAAAGCAAAAGUGACAAACACAACCAUUGUAUAACGGGACUGUAGACUCUUUUAUUAAACUACAAAUUGUAUAGUCUUUUUCAAAUUGUUAUAAAUUAGUGGCCCCUACAAUCCUCAACAAUUGUACCGAUAUUCACAAGUUGGUGGGCCCUACAAUUCUGUUCCGAUAAUUUAACUGUGCAAGUGCUCAUUCACAAUCUUCCAGGUCAUGCUCUCAAUAAUUGUUUUUUUUUUUUCUGCAUUCCCUUUCAUGCUCUUAAUAAUUGAAGAGCAUACUUUUCAUUUUCAAAUGUGGAGCCGCAGCUAAUGUCGCUAAUUUAAUUUAGGAUUAAAUUAGGGGACCAUUAUAUUACAGUGUUCACUCAUUUUUGUGUUUAUCUAAACUCCUUAAGUUUAAGACAUAUUAUGGCAUAAAUAAGAAUAUAACAAUAACAAAAGAGUUAGAAAGUGUAGAGAAGAUCUUGCAGAAAUAUAAAUAAUAUCAAUAUUUAAAAUAAUUUUUAAUAUUUUAUGAUCCAUUAGAUAUAUUUUAUUAUAUUAAAAUAAAUUUUAUAAUAAAUGAAAACAUCCAAUUAAAAUGAAUAUAUAGAAAAUUUAGAGUAUUUUAAGUAUUAUAUAAAAUAAUUUUAAUAAAAUAUGUGAGAUAUUCAUAGUUUAUUAAUUUAAAAUACCAUUUUAAAAUUAAAGAUUUAUUUAUGAUAAAUUAAUAAUUAUAUUUUUGAAAUUACUUCAAAUAUUAAAAAAUUAAUAUUACUAAUCUAUUAGAUAGAUUAAAUUAUAUAUAUUAUUUUCUAUUUAUUAAAAAAUUAAAAUUAUUUUUAAUUACUAUUCAAAAAAUAUAAUGAUAAAAAAAAUCUUAACAUCUUUAUUAAAAAUUUAAAAAUUUACCUGAUCAAUUCUCUAAAUAUUUAGGGUAUAUGUGAACCACGGUGGAGAAGCUUUAUUUAAUAUUAUUGAUUUAAAUAAUAUGUCAAUUAAAAAUAUACAGAGAAGGAAAUUUCGGUAGGUAUUUUAAUCUUUUCAGCAAUUAUCAUGAUCAGAUCAGCCUUUAGCCUUAAAACGUCGGUCAGAAAAGUUUUUAAAUUAACGCAAACAAGAAAAAGCUAGGUCAUAUUAAAAGUGGAUUCUUUUGAAUGCAAGUGGGACAGACGAUUAGGCUCUUUUUAUUAAACGCAAGUAAAAAGUAGUCGAAUAGUCUUUUUCAAAUUAUUGUUUUAUUAUUUUAUUAUUUUUCCUUCAAAAGUUAGCGUGGCUCAUGUUUGCAGGUGCGAAUGUGCCAUGCUCUUUUUUUAAAGGCAAUUACAGUGGGUCCCGAAUCAUUACUAAAAUUUCUCUUCCACAGCCCACCGCAGCUUCAGUUAAUCAAACUCAAUCAAUUUUCUUUCUUAACAAAAUUCUAAAGAUGUGUAGCAUUUUUCAGAUCACAUGCGAUGGUGCUUUUUUCAAUCGUUGCUUGGAUUGCUUUCUUGGAAAAGCAGCAUACAUACGUAACCUCCAAGAUAAUCUUGAUGCCUUGGAGACUGAAUUGGGAAAUCUGAUCGCUAGAAAGAACGAUGUGAUGAGGAGGGUUGUCGAUGCUGAACGGCAACAAAUGAGAAGGCUGGACGGAGUGCAAGUGUGGGUUUCGAGGGUGGAUUCUGUUAAAACUGAAGCUGAUCAAUUUAUAAGAGACGGCUCUCGAGAAAUUGAAAAAUUAUGUGUUGGAGGCUACUGUUCCAAGAAUUGCAUGUCAAGCUACAAGUUCGGGAAAAAAGUGGCUAAAAAGCUACGGGAUGUGCGGACUUUAAUCAGUGAAGGAGUUUUUGAGGUGGUGGCUGACAGAGCUCCAGAGUCUGUAGCAGAUGAAAGACCUACUGAGCGAACAGUAGUAGGCUUGCAAUCACAACUUGAACAAGUCUGGAGAUGUCUUGUAGAAGAAUCAGCGGGAAUCAUUGGCCUAUAUGGUAUGGGCGGUGUUGGUAAAACUACACUACUGACCCAUAUCAACAAUAAAUUUCUCGAGAGUCCAACCAACUUUGAUUGUGUGAUUUGGGUUGUAGUUUCAAAAGACCUGCGACUCGAAAAAAUUCAAGAAGAUAUUGGGAAAAAGAUAGGUUUGGUUGGUGACUCAUGGAAGAGUAAAAGUGUAGAGGAGAAAGCUGUCGACAUCUUCCGGAGUUUAAGAGAGAAGAGAUUUGUAUUGUUGUUAGAUGAUAUAUGGGAGCGGGUUGAUUUAACAAAGGUGGGCAUUCCACUUCCCGGACCAAAAAAUACUACCUCAAAAGUCGUAUUCACAACCCGUUUCAUCGAUGUUUGUGGUAGCAUGGAAGUUGACAGGAAGUUUCAAGUAGCAUGCUUAUCAGAAAAGGAUGCUUGGGAACUGUUUCGAGAAAAAGUUGGGGAAGAAACUCUUCAGAGUCAUCAUGAUAUCGAUGAGCAAGCCCAAAUUGUGGUCAAAGAGUGUGGUGGUUUGCCACUCGCACUUAUUACUAUUGGUCGAGCUAUGGCCUACAGAAAGAAAGCGGAGCAGUGGAGACGUGCAAUUGAAGAGUUAAGGAGAUCAGUUUCAGAGUUUGCAGGUUUGGGAAAAGAGGUGUAUCCUCUUUUAAAAUUCAGCUAUGAUAGUUUGCAGAAUGAUACGGUUAGAUCUUGUUUCUUGUACUGUUGUUUAUAUCCUGAAGAUUAUGGCAUUCUUAAAUGGGACUUGAUUGAUUGUUGGUUUGGCGAGGGAUUUUUUGGGGAAUCUGACAGGUCUGGUGUAGAAAACCAAGGAAAUGACAUUUUGGACACUCUUGUUCGUGCAUGUUUAUUAGAAGAGGUGGAAGAUGAUGAAGUAAAAAUGCAUGACGUUAUUCGUGAUAUGGCUAUAUGGAUAACUUGUGAAAUUGAGAAGGAGAAGCGAAACUUUUUGGUUCGUGCAGGUGCUGGAUUAAAAGAGGCACCGGGUGUUAAAGGAUGGGAAAAUGUGAGAAGAUUGUCAUUGAUGCAAAACCAAAUUGAAACUCUGUCAGAGGUUCCCACAUGCCCUCAUCUCCUCACUUUAUUUCUUGACUUUAAUCAGGAGUUGGAGAUAAUCGCGGAUGGCUUCUUCCAACUUAUGCCUUCUCUCAAAGUUUUGAAGAUGUCAAACUGUUCGAAUUUGAAAUUACCUGUUGGGAUGUCAGAGUUGGGUUCAUCACUAGAACUUCUCGAUAUUUCAGAAAACAGCAUAACAGAGUUACCGGAAGAGUUAAAGAAGUUGGUAAAUCUGAAAUGUUUGAAUUUGAGGUGGACACAGCAUUUAAAUAAAAUUCCACGGCAACUAAUAUCAAAUUCUUCAAGGUUACGUGUGUUGAGAAUGUUCGCUACUGGCCGGUUCAAUUUUCAUGAAGCACCAGAAGACAGCGUUUUAUUUGGUGGGGGUGAAGUUUUGAUACAGGAAUUGCUCGGUUUGAAAUAUUUAGAGGUAUUGGAGUUGACCUUGGGAAGUUAUCAUGCUCUCCAAAUUCUUUUGAGCUCAAAUAAGUUAAAAAGUUGUAUUCGAUCUCUUUACCUCCAGUUGACCGGAGAUACAGCGUCAAUUAUUGAUGCUACGGCUUUCGCAGAUCUAAACUACCUCAAUGAAUUAUGUAUUGAUAAUGGUAUUGAGUUGGAAGAGUUGAAGAUUGAUUAUACGGAGAUAGUAAGAAAAAGGCGGGAACCUUUUGUUUUCCGCAGCCUUCACUGUGUUACUAUGAUUUCGUGCCGUAAAUUGAAAGAUUUGACAUUCCUCGUUUUUGCUUCAAACCUCAAGUCUCUUCGGCUACGCAAUUGCUAUGCUAUGGAAGAAAUAAUCAGCGUCGGAAAAUUUGCUGAGACUCCUGAGAUGAUGGGACAUAUAAGCCCUUUUGAAAAUCUCCAAAUGCUUGAUUUACAAGGUUUGCCACAUUUGAAGAGCAUCUUCUGGAAGCCAUUGCCUUUCACUCAUCUGAAAGAAAUGGAGGUACUUAGGUGCGAUCGGCUUGAAAAGCUUCCACUCGAUUCCAACAGUGCAAAGGAGCGUAAAUUUGUUAUUCGUGGAGAAGAAGACUGGUGGAACCGACUUCAAUGGGAGGAUGAAGCCACUCAAAUUGCAUUUCGUUCCUGUUUUAAAAGUGAUGCUUUAUUUAUAUCUUAUUCGUGAAAAGUGAUUUAAUUUCCUGCCAAAAGACGAACGAGAAGAACAUUAGAGUCAAACUAAUGCUCACAUAAAUUUCCCGUAAGAAUAUAUAAUUAGACUGGAAUGCACACCUCUAGAUUGAACAGAAUUAAAGCUGAGAAAAUAUUGAGUAUAGUAGCCCUCUUUACAGAAAAUGACGCGAAAGUUAAUUUAGAAAGAUAUAUUCUUGAUUAAUCCAUUUUCUGAAGUUUUUAUUUUGUAUGGUCAAUUAUACCUUCAUACUAAAAAUUUCUGAAGUUAUAAAUUAGUGCAACUUGACAAUUUUUACUGAUGAUAUCUUCUAUUUUUUUUUUUUUUUUUUUCACUUUCAUAGACUGGCAGCGGAUCCUGCGGCACCAAUUUGAGAGAAUAUACUGACACUACUUCGAACAGCAAGCAGAAGAAGUAAUAUGUCUACGGCAAAGGCAAUGCAGUCCUCAUUUUGGCUUGAGAUGCAGUAAUCAUCGAAGAGAGUUUCCUUGUGAAACUGGGCAACACAUUGAAUCCCUUCGCCACUGAGAAGGUUGUGGAGGAAGUAAGCUUUCUCUCCAGUGAGGAAGAGGUGGCAUACCUUCCCCAUUUUAUCGAGGGCAGGUAGGAAUCUUUUUUCUAAGAGAUUUACUUCGUUCUCUGUAAGAAAUGCUUUGAACUUCAUCCCUCUGUCUCUAUCCUCACUUAUCAGGAAAUAAGUUGAAAGCACUAUGAAGAGAGAGAGAGAGAGAAUUAAGAUAUAUAGACAAGAAAAAUAUUAGACCUUGAUCUUACAAACUAAUACUUCAAGCAGUAUCCUAGAAAGCUAAAAACUGCAAGAUGGCUUGAAAUUUGAAAAGAGCACGUGCUUUUCCUCCUUAACUUGAGAAAAUGUUUAAUAUAGUGCACCUUACAGAAGCAUUUAAGCAAUUAGAACUUUGCACAAAAACAUCAAGAAGACUAAACAAAUCAGAUGCAGUGUAUUUGUCCAAGCACAAAUUGCAUUUUGUCCUCAACUUUAAUAUUUAUUGAUGAGAAUCAAUACAGGUCCCUCAUUUGUUAUAGAAAGCUUUCUUGUAGUCUCACCAGUUAAUUCACAGGUCUAUAAUCAUCUUGCAAAGUUAAGGGCAUUUCUUUCGAUCUAAAGUCUUUGGAUCACCACCUCAUCACACACCAAGCCAAUAUUCCAUUUACCUCUACAACAAAAAGUUUUUAAGUAAACAAUCCUAAUGCACGCAGCCAAAUAAAAUGCAGUAAGAAUAUUCAACUUAAAAAUCUGAAAGCCAACUUGGUGAAUUGCCUCCUUAGGUGAAGUUCCAUGCUUUACUAUAGUUGACAGAACUCAGCAAAAGCUUCCAUACAACAGAUUUUGAAAAUGAUGAUGCCAAUAGAUACUCAUUCAAUCCAUUGAAAAUCCAAAGGUUCAUUGUUAAUAGAAGUUUACAGAGUUUUGGUCAUCAAAUAGCUCAGACCUAAUCCCAAACAAAAAACGAGUGAAAAUUAGAUCACGAGCAGCUAAUUGUAAAUUCUAACUUAACUCUUCAUCUCCUUUGUAAACAAGAAACAAAAUGGAGACAAGCAAAAUGAAUAUGGAGAAAAUUUGAACUCAAAUGAAAUGAGGGCACGAAAGCAAACAAAUGGCAUGCACAAAAAAACCAAGCCUCAAUCAAAAACUAAUUAACCAUUAAGAAAAAAAUUGGUCAGAGAAUGAACUCCAAAUUCAGGAGUCAAGCAAGAAGCUUUCAUUAUUUCAGAAGCUCCUGUACAGGAUUCUAUCACACAUAGGAAUUGUAUAACAAGAGAUCGAUAUAUCGAAUUAGAAAACUCAAUUCGAAUUUGUGUCAAAAAUCAAAAUUAGAAGAUUUCACAUUUCGAGAGGAACAAGCAACAGAUGAAGUUGAAAAUUUUCAGCCAUAACAUGCUAAAAAUGCUACACUGAACGGUUCAUUUUCAUGGGUUUUCUCGGGAAACAAACAGAAAAUUACGGUUUAGAGAGUUGACUGACCUUUUGGCUUUUGAAAUUGAGAAGAUCGCACGCCAAAUUGGAAGAGGGAAAGUGAAAGUGCGAGUUUUAAUAUGGGUAUUAGAUAAGGAAAUUUUAUUAGGUUGCGAGGGUAAAAAAGGAAAGAGAUAUCAUUGUUUUAUUAUCGAUAAUUAUUAAAAAAAUUUCCCCAAAAAAAGAACAAGCAAGGAUAUUUUAUUGUCAUUUGCAACCUUUAAUUUUUUAAAUGCUAUUAGAAACACAAGACAACAAAGAAAUACUUAUUUUUUUUCUAAAACUAAAAUUAAUUGUUUAACUUCUUAUUUCAGAAUCCAACUCCAUUACUAAGUUAAAAAAAUUGUUUCAAAAUUACUUGAGUCAUAUCUAAUGGACCAACAAAGUAAUCGUUUUUAUUUUUAUUGAUUUUUGCAGAAAAUUAAUAACUUAAAAAUACUGAAAGCUAUUGAAAAAAAUUUUUAUUAUCAACCUCAUAGUUUUUUUUUUUUGGGAAGAGAAUUCAAACUUUUUUUUUAUGAAUAUCGCUGUUUCGUUUGAGUUGGAUGUGAAUUCAAAUACAAAUAUUCUUUGUUUUUCAAUUUUGAACUCAAUUUCUUUUUCUCAAGAAUGUUAUGCAGAAAUGAUUUUUACUAAAUCAUUUUUGAUGAAUUGUUUAAAUUAAACAAUUGGAUUAAGAAUUGUAACGAUUUAUCAUAAGCGUGCUAAUAUGAUAACUUGUUUUACGAAGGAUUAAUUAAUCAAUUAAUAUUAAAUUAUAUAUUAGUCAAUUAGAUAUGUGUUACAUUUGUCAUGUUUUGUAGGUGAUACUACAUAAUUUCUAAAAGAAUAUAGUAAAAAAACGUUAAAAUGUUAUUUUAAUGAAGAAAAUUUUAUAAUUUUAUUAAAUAGGUGACACAAUAAUAAAUGGAUUUCUGUAAGAAUUGAGAUUCUUGAGAUAAUUAUUACAUAAGGAGAAGUUUAUUACAUAGGUGACAGCUAUGAUUUUGAAACUUUUGCCUAAAAUUGUUAUCAUUACUUCUUGUUUCUUAUUUAAAGAGAAAUUCUAGAAACAUGAAAUGAUUAUUCUACGCUUGUUUUAAUAUUAUACUAUGAAGAUUAUGAAGGUUUGAUUAAUGUCACUAUCAAUUGCCUUAAUCGUUUGUCGUAAAUCAAUUAAGCAUUUUGAUGCGAAUGAUUCCCUAUUAAAAAAUUCAAGUCAGAGCUGAAUUGCAAAGUAGUUAGUCGUGCUUGCAAUUCAAAUUAAGUAUUGUAUUUUCCCCCUGAUUUGGUUGAUUCAACUAUGUGCAUUUGCUUAUGAACGUUGUAGUACAGAAAUCGAAACAUCUUGUCUUUUGCUAAGCCCAGAAGCAAAUUCUUUGUAUUCUACUCAUCAGUUUUCUUCAUUCUCUUCGUUGAAAUUUUAUCCAAACAGCGGUUUCGAAAUUGUUUUCACCACAAUACCUUAGUCUUUCAGAUGCUCCCGUCACUGAGUUGCCAGAAGAGCUAAAAGCCUUGGUAAAUCUUAAGUGUUUGAACCGGAGUACACAAAUUAUCUCUCUACAAUUCCAAAACAACUGAUUUGUUACUUUUUGAUGCUACAUGUUCUGCGAAUAUUCAGUUGUGAUUAUCUUGUUCAAAUACCAGAAAAUAGCGUUCUAUUUAGUGAUAAUGAAUUCUUGGUUUGGGAGUUGCUUAGUUUAAAACGUUUAAAUGUAUUAAGCAUCAUCUUGAAAAGUUUUUCUGCCGUCCAAAAACUUAUGAGCUCCCAAAAGUUUCAAAGCUGUACACAAUGCUUGGAGCAUAUAGGCUGUGAUGACCCAAAGUCAUUUGCCUUGGCAGAGUUGAAACAUCUUGAAAAACUAGGUUUUUCGAGUUGUGGAAAUUUGGAAGAGUUAAAGUUCUGCUGUGUUGAAGUUGCAAAGGCUCGAGAAUGUUUUCGUUUGAACGGCCCUUGCUGAGUUAAGAUGAAGGCUUGUCAUAAAUUGUGGGAAUCGACAUGUUAUUCAAAUAGAAAAAUGUAUGGAGAUGGAUGUUAAUCUUAAGGUUAUUCAAGCAGACAAAUUCGAAUAAAACUUAUGGUAAGUGCUUUUCCAUUUAUUGCAUAUUUAUAUCUAAUUUUUAUUUUCCUUUAUUGUUAAAUUUUGCUCUAUAUUUGUUUUUGUAUGGUGGCAUUCUUGUACAAUUAUUAGCUUUUCAUUUCUCUUCUCACAUUAACUGCCCUUCUGAUCAUGUAGGAUUUGCUGAUGCAAAGAGUCAUAAUUUGGGAUACAAAUGUAAGAAUUAGACAGAUGACAUGUUGUUUUGAAGCUCUCGAAGAAGAAGGACUAAUUAUGUCAUUGAAAGCCUCCAAUUUUGUGAUUGGUUUCUUUUUAUUUUAUUUGUUGUUUUCUCUAUUUUCAGAUCGCUUAAUUGUUAGUUGUUGUAAUCUAAUAUUUUAGUGUAGAAAAUUAUAUUCGGCCAAGACAGCGAUAGGAGGGCACAUUGUGCAUGCACACUAGUGGAUUUGUCAUGCCAAAUCCAAUUAGGAUGGAUAACACUUUAUAAGCAUUAGGCGUCUCUCGUACCUGAGUAAUAUAGAAUAUGUUUAUAAGUUGUGAAUCACCCUUUAUAAGUGUUAGGCUUCUGCUAUACUCAGUGAUGUGAAAUAUAUUUAUAAGCACUAAACUUCUCCCAUACACUUUAUGUUAAAAAUAAUAAUAAUAAUAAUAAAAUAAACCUAUUUUAACAGACUCUUUUUUCUUUUUCUAUAUGAACAAACGCAUUCUUCAAAGCAAUUGUGGGUAGAAGAAGUGAGUAGAGAAGAACUGGGCCCCUUUCAUUCCUUUAAAACCUCACCAAAACCUCUCUUGUAAGCUUCUCGGAUUUUCUUUCUAUAUUUCUUAGGAACUCAUUUUUUAUUGAAUCACUUCUUUUGCAUGCUGCAUUUUUUGUUUGUCGUAUUUGGGUAUUAUCUUAUCUGGAAUGCUGUUAUGAUUGAUGGAACAAGUAAUCGAUUUUUGGUCUAAUGGAAGUUGAUUUAUUUAUUUAUUGUUAUUUUUAUUUGAAAUUAUGUACAAUUGCAUUUCAUUCAUUUCUCUCUCUCUUUUUCUUUUUUUCCCCCCAUAAAUUUGUUAUGUAUAAUUGCGUUUCAUUUAAUAUUGAUCAUACUGUAGGUAACCAUGUGAUUGUAGAUGGGGAUUUCAAGUUUGUUGAAUAUUCAUGUAAGUGAAGUAACCGUCACAAUACUAGUGAAAUUGGGAGCUUUAUUCAUGAGUUUGUGGUUUUGAAAAGUACCACAGUUCAAAUGAUGAAGGCUCCUUUUUGGGAUUCUUCUUUUUCUAGGCUGCAAUUAGGAUAUGUACAUGAUAGACAAUCUUUUGUUGGUUUGGCAUAUGUUCGCUGAUUUUGUCUUUUAUUCCCCAAUUUUAUAAUUACACACCAUGAAUGUUGGGUGAUUGUAUAGAAAAUUUGUGUUAUAACAAAAACAUUGUGAAGGAGUUUCCGUGCUAAUAGUUGUGGCUUCUGUUUUAUUGGCAUUGAUUGGGUAGAUUACGUGUUACAGUGAUUCAAUUUGUGUUCCAAACUUUGCUUUAAUUUUCUGUUUUCCCCAACUAUUUUUGUCAAAUUUAAAUCCAGAAGCAUGUACUGAUUUUGUCUUUUUGUAUUAAUCUGUGAAGUUUAUUUGGAAUGGAAGUAACUGGGUCAGGUCUAAUGGAUUAAAUUAUGACAUUGAGGGGAAGGCACUAAAAGGGUUUGCUUGACACAUUUGGUUCUGUGUUUACUCUGCAAGAAAUAGCUUUUGCUUAUUGCAAUGCAGGGGGAAAUCCCGAUUUGGCUGGUGAAUUUCUCUGCAACAAACAGGCAAACACCUCAACCUCUUCUGUCCAUACUUCUGCUGGGGAGGCAAGGGGUAAAGAGUCUUCAAAAUCAUCAAAUAGUAACAUCUCUGAGAAUUCAUUUUAUGGAAAUGGAAAAUCUAGAACUUCUAAUACAAAAUGGCAUCUGGUAUCAGGACGUACCGUUUCAAGUUUUCUUGGUAAAGAUUAUGUUAAACCUGCACAGCCAGCUAAUGGCACUUUUCUGGCAUCAAAGCCAUUGAAGUUGGAUCCAAAGGAGUUUCCCAUGUCUGCACUUUGCAGAGAAGAAUCUAAACCGAAACAAUCAAAGGAUGACCAUUUGCAGAAGGACAUGGAAGAUUUUCUGUUUAAAUUUCCAGGAGACGGUUCCAGCUGAACAGGGAUGUGAUUCAGGAGGUUCUCGGUAAUGUCUUAAAUAUAUUGAUGCCAAUUUAAUACAUAUUGUCCUUUUCAAUGUUCUUUCUUUCUUUCUUUCUCUUCUUUUAUUCUUCUUCUUCUUUUUUUUUUUCAUGUGCAUGUGAUCGCUAAUUUGGUAUUAUUUUUAACUUGCAGAUACUUGUGGAUAUGAUAUGCAAAAGGUAAGGACUAUAUCCUCCUGAUGGAGGCCUCUGCUUUUCCCUUCUUUGUACGUAAUUUAGUAAAUCGCAUCUUCUAUAUAUCAUACCAAAAUCCAGUCUUAAAUGCUGCUGGCAUAUGUUAAGGUUCAACUUGCAUUUUGAUUAACGUCCAUUUGCUACGGCUUCCAAAAUUGAGAAUGAGAUACUUUGGUUAAUUUCAGUAGUUGAACCCAAUAGGGUACUUUAUUUAGAUCUUCAUGGUUCAAAGGCCCGAAAAAACUUACAGGUAUACCUGCAAAAUGACACUCUGUGCUUUUAUUUAUACUUAUUAUUUAAGUGAUAAAAAUUCCCCAAACCUGCGGUCAAGAAAAUUUCAGAGAGUUAAAGACUCCAUUUUGUUUCAGCCAAAAAUGUUUAUUUCAAUUAAAGAUUUGAACCAUUUUCAUUUAACCUGAUUGUGAUGCUUUACAUUGUGCACGCUCCUCUCGAUCAAUAAACGUUGAGGUCAUGAUUUUAUAUUUCUAUAUUGUAACCUGAAAUAAUAAUUGGUUUGCAUGUUUCUGUAGCUUGAUAACAUGAAUUUUCCUUCUGAAGUUACUUUGAUCAAUAAAGUUAUUCUUCGGAGAAGAUAUGCCCAUUCUAUAAUCAUUUUCCUAGCUAAUAUGUUUUUUUCACUCUUCUGAGCAUGUCUAAACUAAUUGAUCGCUCGGCAGAGACUUUGGGUAAGAAAACAAAAUUUCAUGGUAAAUCCUCUGAAAAGGUAUGCAUAAUUGAAACAAUCCGCCCCGAAUCCCCCCAGGCGAGUCUAUCUAGUCUCAUCAAAACGGACUUGAUAAUAAUUCUAUUAGUAAAGACGACAGAAUCUCUUUUAUAUAUAUAACACUCCCAAUGUACAAAUAUAAAUAUAAUACUUUCAAUACAAUUCAAUAUACAACAAACUCCAGUGAUCAAUAUCCUCAACUAAAAUGCUGAGUUUUAUAUUAGAGUCUCAAAAGAUAAUAUUAUAACUAAUAUUAAUAUCUCAGUUUAUUUUUAAUCCCAAAAGAAUAAUAUAACAAAAUUAUACAAUCCCAACAGGACGAGAUAACCAAGAUGUCCUAACAAAAACAUUUAUAUCUUCUAGCACCAUCACGUGGCCAAGACUCAAAAUAUAUUUACAAUCGCUGGGUCGGUCUGGUGUACCUGCAACCUACUGGUGAGGGGGGAAAAUAUAAUAAAAACAGGGUGAGUUUAAAACUCAGUGAGAUCGGUGAGUAGAUAGUAGUUUUGUAAAUUAAUUCUUACUUUAAAAGAAAUAAUCAUGUCAUUUCCAAACAUGAUUUCAUUAAACUAUAAGCGAGAAACCAGUAAUAAAUCAUUAAACAUUUAAAUCAGAUUAUUAACCAUGGAAAUCAUAUCACAAUAUCAUAUAGAAUUCACAAAUCGGAAAAUCAUCACCAAACAAGUACCCAGAGAAAUAAUCUCGUCAUAUCCGGACCUCAACGGACGGGCAAUGACGUACUAUCUGGGUAACGUCACACCCCGGAGCUACACGGAUAGACAGGGAAAUACCAUCUCAUAUCUCAUCAUAUCUGUGCAUGCAUAAUCUAGUCCCCAAGGGACAAAAGCGCCCAAGCACACGGCCCAAAGCGCCCAAGCACACGGCUCAAAGCCUCUAUGUGUACUCAGACGGGCCCCAAAGGCCUGUAUCUCACAUGUAUCAUAUGUAUCAUUUGUAUCUCAAUAUUUGUCUGUAUCUCAUAUCCGUAUAUCUGUAAUCAUCAUACCGCAUGCAUAUGCCCCCAAAAGGCAAAAAGCGCUCAAACACACGGCCCAAAGCUUUUAUAUGUGUUCAGACGGGCCCCAAAAGCCUCUCAUUUCAUCUUAUCUGUAUCACUGUAUCUGGAGGGAAGGGUACUGUCUAAUGAUUUAAAAAACAAUCAUUAUACUCAUAUUUACAUACCUCUUAACCAUAUUUGAAGUCAUAUCACAUUUGAAUCCACUUUUCUAAUCUUUAAAAUAUUAUCAUACUUUAUUCAAAGUCGAUACGCAAAAUCAAUAACCAAACAUUUUAAUAAAAUACCAAUGCGUAAAUAAAAUCUAUUUCGAGAAAUCAUUAAAUCAGAACAUUUAAAAUACUUAUUUUGCAAACAUGUUUUACUAUUAUCGCUAACUAUGAAAAUAAGUUUUGUAUAUUCCACUCUCAGUGACGAUGUUCACGGUCGGUUAUCGUCCAUAUCUGCAGACCGAUUCUCGCUCGCGGAUCCUCCUAAAUCAAGGAAACGACAUAAUUAUUUUUCGUAAAUCGGAAUUAUGACUAAAUUUUAUGCAAUAAACUCAAAACGAACAUCUAUUCAUAAUUGACAACUCCUAUAUCCAUAAAAUUACUAAAAUGUCCUUGAGUCCGUAGAUCAUUAACAUGCUCCGAAAUCGUAAAUCACUUAAUUACCCUCGGAAUCGUAAUUACACCUGAUCCUCAAUUCUAGGAAUUACUAACAUAUCCACAGGCUCAGAAAUUACAAAAUUGCCCUCAUAGUGUGAAAUUACCAAAAACCGGAAGUUGGUCAACACUGGCUAGGAAGCUCGAAUCGUAAAGUUCCAAUCACGCUGAGUUCAAUGGUACCGGCGGUGAGCUCCAAUGCGCGGCAACGACGCUGGAAUCUAGCUCGGCAGUCGUGAAUUCCACCAAUCGACCGGCGGCAAAACAGUGACUCUCGGUGCCUAUGGAUGGUCGGAACUGGAAGAGGGAGUCGUGGGGAACAAACUCCAACCGGUGGUGUCACCAAAACCGGCGAAAAUCCCGGCGGAGCAAAGUGAAACAGUCGCGGGUUUCAUGCUUCGAUCGCCGGUGUUCCGAUUGGUUUUUGGCGAGGAGGAUGGCAAGGGAACGACGGCCGGCUUCUAAGCUUCAGAUUGGUACCAAGCUCGGCCGAAAUGGUGGCUGGCAAUGGGAGAUAUGGCCGGGUCAAGGUCGCGGGUUCCGGGUCGGGUUUUCGGGUCUGUAGUUGGGUCGGUUUGGCAGCUUCUCUCUCACUCUCUGUUACACGUGCAUAUGUUUCGUCUGUUUCCAGCUUAUUCUUUUGCUUUUACUAACUUCUUAACCGCCUCAUACUUAUUCAUUUUUAAUUCUCAUAUGUUACAAUAAUUCCCGAGUAUUAAAUAACCAGUGGUCAUAAUUUUUGUACAAGAUUCUUUUUUUUUUGGAGAUCGUUAAAAGUGGUUGACGAUCCAUUUUGUAAUAUCAUAGAGGGAUCAUCAAUUCCUUUUCUUUUCUGUGGCUAGGCAACACUUUUUGGCCAAACUAAGGAAAUCUAUUUUAGGUAAUGUAAAAACCAGUUAUAGGAUGUAAUAGUUUAUUAUGUACUGACAAUAACUUUUUGUAUAAUUGUCAGUUUAAUGAAUACAAGAGGAACUCUGUUGGCAAAUUCAUCCAACUAAAAUUAUUUAUGCAUGCCCGUUGCCUUAACUAAGUUUUCUCAGCACUGGUUUUGAACAGGAAAAUGAAUAUGCAAUUUGUAUAUUGUGCCAUAGUGGAGAAUUUGGAUAUUCUUAUUUAAGUAACAAGGAGAUUAUUUGCCUCAUCUUUAAACAAUGAAUCUUUGAGAGAUGAGGAGUGGGUGAUUGGCUGUGUCUUCAUGUAAUUGUUCAUUUAUUUGUAUUUUGAACUGUUAUGAAAAUCUUUAUAUGCCAAAUUAGUAAUACAAGUAUUCAGAUGAUUUUUCCUAUUGAUCAUGCAUUUGUAUCUGCCCACAACCAUUGUAUAUCACUUUAUUCUGAUGCGCAAGCAUCUGUAAUUUAGAAGAAAAGAAAUAAUAAUCAUAUUUUAUUGCUUGGUUCAUGAUUAUUAACGAUUAUGGCUUUAAAAAUCUACAAAUUUCUUGUGUUCAUGUAUGAAUGUGCCAAGUUUGCUGUAUCUUAGAUUACCUUCUUCCAAGAUAACAAGUUCAUAUAUUUUUUUUUUUAAAAUCCUUUUCCAUUACAGUUGAAUUUCAAGUGUUAGUUUUGUUAUUAGUACCUGGUUUCCUGUUAUUAGGAUCUAAUAAACAGUGUACGGAUAUGUGCUCUACUUUUGGAGGGCCUCCACGUGAAAGAAAAUUGCAACAAUUGAAUUCUUCCGGAGGGUAUGGUAAUUAAUUUAUUUUCUCAACUUGUUGUAAGACUAAUAUAUUUCCUUCAGUAGGCACGGCAUGGUGGGAAGGGUUUUUAUUGAAAGAAUUCUGAUAUUUCUUAGACUUUGUUUUGGAAGGGGGUGGAGGGAUUUCUCAUCCAUAUAUGGUUACUUGAUUAGCUUUUGACUGUAUUGUCUCCGUCGUGCAAAGGAAAAUCUAAAUACUAACGAUGGGGAAUUGCUUAGGCACCCAAAAGGCAGAAAUGAAUUACAGAAGGAAGUUUUUGCUGCUUUAUUUAGUGCUGCUGAGAAAUCUGAUGAAUUUCCUGAAAUUACGGUGAAGACCGAGUGGAGGUCCAAAGCAUUAGGAAAGGUGGUGAGUGAACUGCCGGAGGAAUUAGUACCAGAAUACAAGGCUAAUGUGGUGCACUUGCAGCAAGAUAACCAGACCGGUAUGUGCUCUUAUAUUAACUAUAUUGACUGGAUUUGUUAGUGUGUGCAUUUUUUUGUGUAUACUCACUUUUGUAUUUAUGCAUAUUAACAUGUGUAGGAUUCUUGAUUUCUGCCACUUACUGGAGAACUAGUGGAAAGCUUUAUACUGAUAUAUCUGCAAUAACUAAUGGAAACUAUGAUAUGAAUAUUUUCUCUCACCUGGGGAGCUGUGUAACAGAUAUACUUUGUGGCUCUGGAAUGCUGAAGAUUCUGCAAUAACUAAUGGAAAAUAUGAUAUGAAUAUUUUGUCUCACCUGGAGAACUUUGUUACAGAUACCCUUUGUGGCUCUGGAGUGUCUAAAGAAUGCUUCCGUUAGAUCAAAUAUCUUUUAGUUAGAAAAGAUAAAAUUCUCUGAGUCUGAAAGACUGAAACAUUUUGCAUAUUUUGUGAAAGGGAAAUAUCUGUUGAUACUAGCUCAUGCAUUGAGGUAAUAUCGAUGUUAAAGAAAAACAGCAAUGAUUUAUGAUAUAGAAUUGGGUUCACUUGCUUUAAAUGCUGGUCUGAUCAACCAUAUCAACCUGUAAUGAUUCUGCAGAAAUAUAUAUACAAGGAGAAAGUAGCUAAAUUUUUCUUUCAUUUAUGGGUUCGGUCUUUUUUCCCCUUAUUUUUCAGCUUUCCUUCUCCUGAAGUAUGUUAACAAUUGCAGAUAAUGAUGAAGAGGACAGCUUCCAGGCUCUCCUUAGAGCCGUGAUGGAAUAUAGGGGCACAAUGAAGGAAUAUUGUAAAGCUGUAGGUACUUUUUCUCCUGUCAUUUAUGUUUUCUCACACAUUUUGUAUAUGCCCUGAACAUGCACCUUUGUAUGUAUCAAUUGACUUUUAAAUUUUAAAAGCCAUAAAGUAAGAAUACGGUUCCUUGUCAGGCUACUGAUGACAUUCGCUCAGGGGGAUCAUGUUCGAGCAGGAAAAUUUCUAGAACAGGUAAGGUUUCCAUCUACAGCCAUCCAUUGACAGCAGAUAAAUUUUCAUUCAGCAGACUCUGUUAGCAUUCAAGAUGCUGGCAGAUUCACUUGAUUCUUAUUAGCUUGUUUAGUGGCAAAGCCUAUAACCUGUAUUUCAAAGCCAAGUUGUGCUAUUGAUUAUGUUAACUUUUUUGUUAACAUAAAAUGAUAUGGAGGAAAUAAUCAGUGUUGGAAAAUUAGGUGAAAAGAUGAUGUCAAAUCUUGAACCUCUUGCGAAACUCUAAGUUCUUUACUUGAAGAGGCUACCAAAUUUGAACAGCGUCUACUCGAAGGCCUUGCCAUUCCCUGAUGCAUGCAGAAUUUUUGUAUUUAAAUGCCCAGAGCUUAAGAAGCUGGCACUGGAUCUUGAAGGGGCAGACCAAGGUAAAAUUCUUAUCAAGGGAAAGGAAGAUUGGUGGAAACAACUUAAUGGGAGGAUCAAGUAACUCAGAAUACAUUGCUUCCAUUUUUUAAAUCGACUGACAAGUGAUUGAACGGGGCAUCAUCAAUAUCAUCAACAGGGAUGGAGAGAUGCCGGAGCAGAUCAGCAGGGUUUGAAUAUGACCUUCGGCGGUUGCUUUUUUUUUUUGUGAUUUUUUUUCAUUUUUUCCUUCCUGUCAUUUUAUCAUUUCUUUGGCUCUGUUUCUAUUGCGGGUGUUACUGCAUGCUUACUGUUGCUUGACAAAGUUUGCUAGCUUUUUGUUUGCAGCGCUGCUAUACGCCCCGAGUCAAGCCCCGAAAAUUUAUUAAACGACGCCGUUUCGACAGUAACAAUUCUUUUCUUUUCCCUUUGCCUGUUUCUUUCAUCUGCAGUUUCUCUAUCACUUUUCAUUUUUGAUUUCCGUGCUUCCCAGCUGCCCCUAAAUUGUUAUUCUAGCAAUAUACUUUCUCAUCUUUGAAUUUUCAUCCUUGAGUACUCCCACAGCCGUAAUUUCAUCAUUAUAGACUUCACUUGGAAUGCUAGAUUUUUUCGAUUCUUGAGCUACUUCAAUUACAUCUUAGUAUAGGAUCCUCAUCUUCCUUUAUUUCUUCAUCUUAUGAGGUAACAAAUGGAUUUCACAACUCAUCUACUUUUAAGCAAUUACAUAUUAUACCCUGAAUGAUUCAACUGUUCCGACAGUUAAAGAUUUUAUGCUCAACCUGCAGUGCUACGAACAUUGUCCAUGAAAGAUGAGUUUCAGCAUAUAAAAUGAAGUAUAGAUGUUUAAUCUAAAAUAACCCUUCACUGCCAGAAACCUAGGUCGCAAAAUUCACAGAUAAUGAUAAAGAGCUAAAAAAUUUGAAAAAACUCUACAGAUCACACAUCAAGCAAGAUAUCAUGUUUUUUCCCUCAUUCGGUGGUGAUUGAUUCGCUUUUUGAUGAUGGAUAUGGUAUAAAAGUUUUGACCCAAUUUCAAGCAAACACAAAUAGAAACACAAACACAAUCGGGACUAGAGUUGUGGGCGAUUAUCUCAGGUGUACAAGUGAAACGGUGGUGGCUGUCGAUGGUGGUAGUGGGGUGGUUGGGUAUGCGUGAUGGCAAGAUUUUAGGACAAUAAUGGUUGGAGUUGACCUCAAUCAAUGAAGGAAAGGGACAACAAUUUUGACAUCAAACGGUGCAUAUUUUAGUUUAGUAAAAUGGAGCCGUUUCGAAUUUGGGAUUUAAUCCGGGUUUGACGCGGUGCAAGUAUCAUUUUCCUUUUGUUUAUUAAUUUUUUUAUGGUCACAAAGUAUUACUCGUUCUAUUUGACAGUGAUGUGAAUCAAUUUUUCAAUUUUAUAUUUUGUGGUCAAUAUGAAUUCAAUUUCAUUUGUCUCCUGCAAUUAUGAAAAAAUUACAGAGUCAUAAUAUGGAAAAGUACACCGGCAAAAACUUUUUAAAAGCUUCGGAGUGAUACGGGGAAUUCACUUACUACUAAGGACAACUGGUGGCAAGCUAUUCCAUUCAUUUUAUGUCCAUCCAUCUAUUUAGUUAUUGAAGACUAGUGGUCCAUUUGUAAAUUUCAGAUUGUCUCUCUCUCUCUCUCUCUCCCUCUUGAAAUAACAAUAUUUAAUAUAUCUCUUAAAUUAUUAUAAAUUUUAAUUUACUCUCGAUUUAAAAUGGAGCAUGUCGAUAAUUUUUUUUUUCUUCUUAAUAAAAUUGACGCAAGUUGUGUUUACAGUAGUUUGAAGUUGGAAGUAUUUUAAAGAUUAUUAUUCUAUAAGGGAGUAAUAUGAACUGAAAUUUACUUUUCACGUGUGAAAUGAAAAAGGACGAAGCAAGUGUCCCUGCUUUUAUUUUAUUUCAAGGAGGAGUCAUCGCACAUACUUUAGCUCUUAACAUUACAUUUUUAUUUUUUUUUUACACAUGCGUGUGGGGGUUGCUUUUCUGUAAGCUCCUUAAUAUAUAUUUAAGACAAAUCAUGGAAGAGAUGGGAUUAUAUCAAGAUGAUCAAAGCAUGUAAAAAAAGAAAAAAGAAAAAAAUAAUUAAGAAGUAAGACACUGAAAAUGGAGAAGAGAUGGAAGCAAAAGAUAUUCCAAAACAAAGCAAUCUAUCCCCUUUCGAGGGCAGACUUAUGAUGUUUAAAAAAGUACAUGCUUUGGAUUGGUAGUUGCAAUCAAGGGAAAAUAAAUAGGAUCCAAUGAAAUUUAAAUCUCGGAGAAAAUAAAUAAUCAUGCUGAUUUUUAAGAUUUUAAUAAGGGAUACUAAUAUCUUAUUUUGAUUAAUAAUAUCCUUUCAUUGUGUUAACUCAAAAAAAAUAUAUUUUAAUGUUUUACAAUAAACAGAAACGUACUAUUAAAAUGAAUAUAUAAAGAAUUUAGAAAAUUUAGAAUGUUAUAUAAAAUAAUUUUAAUAUAAUGCGUGAGAUAUAUUUUUUUAAUUUAAAAUGUCAUUUUACCUAAAAAAUAUGAUAAAUUAAUAAUUACAUAUUUGAAGUUAUUUCAAAUAUUAAAAAAAUUUAAUAUUAUUAAUCUUUUGGAUAGAUUAAAUUAUUUUUUAUAAGAGAUAAAUUAAAUUAUUUUAAAAUGCCUUAAUUGUUUUUACUUUUAACAUUACCGGCCUUUCUUUUAUUUUAUUGAAAAUUAAUGCUAACAAGAAAAAGCUAGAUCAUAUUCCACAAAAAAGCAAAAGUGACAAACACAACCAGCUGGAAUCUUUUAUAAAACUACAAAUUAAAAUGAAUUUUUUUUUGGGAAAAGGACACAGAGACCCCUAAUGUUUGAAUAAGGGACACAGAGAUCCCUAACGUUUGAAAAAGGGACACAAAACCCCCUAAGGUUUUAAAAAAGAUACUAAGACCCCUAUUUGUUAACAGAAAUUAUAAUUUUAAAGUGCAAUUACCAUUAUAUCCUUAUAGCAUAUUAAAAAAUAAUUAUUCAUUGUCCAAUUUAUUUCUAUAUUAUUAAUAAAAUUAUGAAUAUAACUUCAUUACCCAAUUUUUCCAUUUUAUUUAGUACAAUUAAGAUUUUGUAAUUAUUGUUGUAACCAAUUUUUUUUUUAUUUUGUUGAUUAUAUAAGUUUAAAUGAAGAAUUGUUAUUGAGAAUUGUUAUUUUUAUUAUAUUAGUAAUCAAUUUAAUUUAUUUUUAUUCUUGAGCAAUGAAUUAAAUUUAUUUAGUUGAAGAGAAAAUUUGACAAAAAAUAAAUGAAAAAAAUUGGAUAAUGAAGUUAUAUUCGUAAUUUUAUUAAUAAUAUACGAAUAAAUUGGACAAUGAACAAUUAUUUUUUAAUAUGCUAUAAGGGUAUAAUGGUAAUUACACUUUAAAAUUAUAAUUUAUGUUAAUAAAUGGGGGUUUGAGUGUAUUUUUUGAAACCUUAAGGGGUUUUGUGUUCCUUUUUCAAACGUUAGGAAUUUUUGUAUCCCUUAUUCAAAUAUUAGGGAUCUCUGUGUCAUUUUCUCUUUUUUUUUUUUGAUAAAUUACACAUGAAAGUGAAUUCUUUUGAAUAUAAGUGGGGUAGGCUCUUUUAUUUUAUUUUUGAAUACUGUAUAACAGGACUGUAGACUCUUUUAUUAAACUACAAAUUGUAUAGUCUUUUUCAAAUUGUUCAGAUAUUUAUAAAUUGGUGGCCCCUACGAUCCUCAAUAAUUGUACCGAUAUUCACAAGUUGGUGGCCCCUACAAUUCUGUUCGCAAGUGCUCAUUCACAAUCUUCCAGGUCAUGCUCUUAAUAAUUUACAUGAUCAAUUCUCUAAAUAUUUAGGGUAUAUGUGAACAUCGGUGGAGAAGCUUUAUUUAAUAUUAUUGAUUUAAAUAAUAUGUCAAUUAAAAAUGUGCGGAGAAGAAAUUUCGGUGGGUAUUUUAGUUUUUUUAACAAUUAUCAUGAUCAGAUCAGCCUUUAGCCUUGAAACGUCGGUCCGAAAAGUUUUAAAAUUAACGCUAACAAGAAAAAGCUAGGUCAUAUUCCACAAAAGCAAAAGUGACAAAAUAACCAGCUGGUUUCUUUUACUAAACUACAAAUUAAAAGUGGAUUCUUCAGACGAUUAGGCUCUUUUUAUUAAACGCAAGUAAAAAGUAGUCGAAUAGUCUUUUUCAAAUUAUUGUUUUAUUAUUUUUCCUUCAAAAGUUAGUGUGGCUCAUGUUUGCAGGUGCGAAUGUGCGAUGCUCUUUUUUUAAAGGCAAUUACAGUGGGUCCCGAAUCAUUACUAAAAUUUCUAUUCCACAGCCCACCGCAGCUUCAGUUAAUCAAACUCCAUCAAUUUUCUUUCUUAACAAAAUUCUAAAGAUGUGUAGCAUUUUUCAGAUCACAUGCGAUGGUGCUUUUUUCAAUCGUUGCUUGGAUUGCUUUCUUGGAAAAGCAGCAUACAUACGUAACCUCCAAGAUAAUCUUGUAGCCUUGCAGACUGAAUUGGGAAAUCUGAUCGCUAAAAAGAAUGAUGUGAUGAGGAGGGUUGACAAUGCUGAACGGCAACAAAUGAUUAGGCUGGAAGGAGUGCAAGUGUGGGUUUCGCGAGUGGAAGCUGUUAAAACUGAAGCUGAUCAAUUUAUAAGAGACGGCUCUCGAGAAAUUGAAAAAUUAUGUGUUGGAGGCUACUGUUCCAAGAAUUGCAUGUCAAGCUACAAGUUCGGGAAAAAAGUGGCUAAAAAGCUACGGGAUGUGCGGACUUUAAUCAGUGAAGGAGUUUUUGAGGUGGUGGCUGACAGAGCUCCAGAGUCUGUAGCAGAUGAAAGACCUACCGAGCGAAAAGUAGUAGGCUUGCAAUCACAACUUGAACAAGUCUGGACGUGUCUUGUGGAAGAAUCAGCGGGAAUCAUUGGCCUAUACGGUAUGGGCGGUGUUGGUAAAACCACACUAUUGACCCAUAUCAACAAUAAAUUUCUCGAGAGUCCAACCAACUUUGAUUGUGUGAUUUGGGUUGUAGUUUCAAAAGACCUGCGACUUGAAAAAAUUCAAGAAGAUAUUGGGAAAAAGAUAGGUUUGGUUGGUGAUUCAUGGAAGAGUAAAAGUGUAGAGGAGAAAGUUGUCGACAUCUUCCGGAGUUUAAGAGAGAAGAGAUUUGUAUUGUUGUUAGAUGAUAUAUGGGAGCGGGUUGAUUUAACAAAGGUGGGCGUUCCACUUCCCGGACCAAAAAAUACUACCUCAAAAGUCGUAUUCACAACCCGUUUCAUCAAUGUUUGUGGUAGCAUGGAAGUUGACAGGAAGUUUCAAGUGGCAUGCUUAUCAGAAAAGGAUGCUUGGGAACUGUUUCGAGAAAAAGUUGGGGAAGAAACUCUUCAGAGUGAUCAUGAUAUCGAUGAGCUAGCCCAAAUUGUGGUCAAAGAGUGUGGUGGUUUGCCACUCGCACUUAUUACUAUUGGUCGAGCUAUGGCCUACAGAAAGAAAGCGGAGCAGUGGAGACGUGCAAUUGAAGAGUUAAGGAGAUCAGCUUCAGAGUUUGCAGGUUUGGGAAAAGAGGUGUAUCCUCUUUUAAAAUUCAGCUAUGAUAGUUUGCAGAAUGAUACAAUUAGAUGUUGUUUCUUGUAUUGUUGUUUAUAUCCUGAAGAUUAUGGCAUUCUUAAAUGGGACUUGAUUGAUUGUUGGAUUGGCGAGGGAUUUUUUGGGGAAUCUGACAGGUCUGGUGCAGAAAGCCAAGGAUAUGACAUUUUGGACACUCUUGUUCGUGCAUGUUUAUUAGAAGAGGUGGAAGAUGAUAAAGUAAAAAUGCAUGACGUUAUUCGUGAUAUGGCUAUAUGGAUAACUUGUGAAAUUGAGAAGGAGAAGAGAAACUUUUUGGUUCGUGCAGGUGCUGGAUUAAAAGAGGCACUGGGUGUUAAAGGAUGGGAAAAUGUGAGAAGAUUGUCAUUGAUGCAAAACCAAAUUGAAACUCUGUCAGAGGUUCCCACAUGCCCUCAUCUCCUCACUUUAUUUCUUGACUUUAAUCAGGAGUUGGAGAUGAUCGCGGAUGGCUUCUUCCAACUUAUGCCUUCUCUCAAAGUUUUGAAGAUGUCAAACUGUUGGAAUUUGAAAUUACCGGUUGGGAUGUCAGAGUUGGGUUCAUCACUAAAAUUUCUCGAUAUUUCAGAAACACCAUAACAGAGUUACCGGAAGAGUUAAAGAAGUUGGUAAAUCUGAAAUGUUUGAAUUUGAGGUGGACACAGCAUUUAAAUAAAAUUCCACGGCAACUAAUAUCAAAUUCUUCAAGGUUACGUGUGUUGAGAAUGUUCGCUACUGGCCGGUUCAAUUUUCAUGAAGCACCAGAAGACAGCGUUUUAUUUGGUGGGGGUGAAGUUUUAGUACAGGAAUUGCUCGGUUUGAAAUAUUUAGAGGUAUUGGAGUUGACCUUGGGAAGUUAUCAUGCUCUCCAAAUUCUUUUGAGCUCAAAUAAGUUAAAAAGUUGUAUUCGAUCUCUUUACCUCGAGUUGACCGGAGAUACAGCGUCAAUUAUUGAUGCUACGGCUUUCGCAGAUCUAAACCACCUCAAUGAAUUAUGUAUUGAUAAUGGUAUUGAGUUGGAAGAGUUGAAGAUUGAUUAUACGGAGAUAGUAAGAAAAAGGUGGGAACCUUUUGUUUUCCGCAGCCUUCACUGUGUUACCAUAUAUAGUUGCGGUAAAUUGAAAGAUUUGACAUUCCUCGUUUUUGCUUCAAACCUCAAGUCUCUUCGGCUACGCAAUUGCUAUGCUAUGGAAGAAAUAAUCAGCGUCGGAAAAUUUGCUGAGACUCCUGAGAUGAUGGGACAUAUAAGCCCUUUUGAAAAUCUCCAAAUGCUUGAUUUACAAGGUUUGCCACAUUUGAAGAGCAUCUUCUGGAAGCCAUUGCCUUUCACUCAUCUGAAAGAAAUGGAGGUACUUAGGUGCGAUCGGCUUGAAAAGCUUCCACUCGAUUCCAACAGGGCAAAGGAGCGUAAAUUUGUUAUUCGUGGAGAAGAAGACUGGUGGAACCGACUUCAAUGGGAGGAUGAAGCCACUCAAAUUGCUUUUCGUUCCUGUUUUAAAAGUGAUGCUUUAUUUAUAUCUUAUUCGUGAAAAGUGAUUUAAUUUCCUGCCAAAAGACGAACGAGAAGAACAUUAGAGUCAAACUAAUGCUCACAUAAAUUUCCCGUAAGAAUAUAUAAUUAGACUGGAAUGCACACCUCUAGAUUGAACAGAAUUAAAGCUGAGAAAAUAUUGAGUAUAGUAGCCCUCUUUACAGAAAAUGACGCGAAAGUUAAUUUAGAAAGAUAUAUUCUUGAUUAAUCCAUUUUCUGAAGUUUUUAUUUUGUAUGGUCAAUUAUACCUUCAUACUAAAAAUUUCUGAAGUUAUAAAUUAGUGCAACUUGACAAUUUUUACUGAUGAUAUCUUCUAUUUUUCCUUUUUUUUUUUUCACUUUCAUAGAAUGGCAGCGGAUCCUGCGUCACCAAUUUGAGAGAAUAUACUGACACUACUUCGAACAGCAAGCAGAAGAAGUAAUAUGUCUACGGCAAAGGCAAUGCAGUCCUCAUUUUGGCUUGAGAUGCAGUAAUCAUCGAAGAGAGUUUCCUUGUGAAACUGGGCAACACAUUGAAUCCCUUCGCCACUGAGAAGGUUGUGGAGGAAGUAAGCUUUCUCUCCAGUGAGGAAGAGGUGGCAUACCUUCCCCAUUUUGUCGAGGACAGGUAGGAAUCUUUUUUCUAAGAGAUUUACUUCGUUCUCUGUAAGAAAUGCUUUGAACUUCAUCCCUCUGUCUCUAUCCUCACUUAUCAGGAGAUAAGUUGAAAGCACUAUGAAGAGAGAGAGAGAGAGAGAGAGAGAGAGAAUUAAGAUAUAUAGACAAGAAAAAUAUUAGACGUUGAUCUUACAAACUAAUACUUCAAGCAGUAUCCUGGAAAGCUAAAAACUGCAAGAUGGCUUGAAAUUUGAAAAGAGCACAUGCUUUUCCUCCUUAACUUGAGAAAAUGUUUAAUAUAGUGCACCUUACAGAAGCAUUUAAGCAAUUAGAACUUUGCACAAAAACAUCAAGAAGACUAAACAAGUCAGAUGCAGUGUAUUUGUCCAAGCACAAAUUGCAUUUUGUCCUCAACUUUAAUAUUUAUUGAUGAGAAUCAAUACAGGUCCCUCAUUUGUUAUAGAAAGCUUUCUUUCUUGUAGUCUCACCAGUUAAUUCACAGGUCUAUAAUCAUCUUGCAAAGUUAAGGGCAUUUCUUUUGAUCUAAAGUCUUUGCAUCACCACCUCAUCACACGCCAAGCCAAUAUUCCAUUUACCUCUACAACAAAAAGUUUUAAUUAAACAAUCCUAAUGCACGCAGCCAAAUAAAAUGCAGUAAGAAUAUUCAACUUAAAAAUCUGAAAGCCAACUUGGUGAAUUUCCUCCUUAGGUGAAGUUCCAUGCUUUACUAUAGUUGACAGAACUCAGCAAAAGCUUCCAUACAACAGAUUUUGAAAAUGAUGAUGCCAACAGAUACUCAUUCAAUCCAUUGAAACUCCAAAGGUUCAUUGUUCAUAGAAGUUUACAGAGUUUUGGUCAUCAAAUAGCUCAGACCUAAUCCCAAACAAAAAACGAGUGAAAAUUAGAUCACGAGCAGCUAAUUGUAAAUUCUAACAACUCUUCAUCUCCUUUGUAAACAAGAAACAAAAUGGAGACACGCAAAAUGAAUAUGGAGAAAAUUUGAACUCAAAUGAAAUGAGGGCACGAAAGCAAACAAAUGGCAUGCACAAAAAAACCAAGCCUCAAUCAAAAACUAAUUAACCAUUA
Molecule: long non-coding RNA, 45102 nt
Filed under: Citrus maxima (pomelo)
Lineage: Eukaryota; Viridiplantae; Streptophyta; Magnoliopsida; Sapindales; Rutaceae
Description: long non-coding RNA (CMAX_LNC000227)
Source: RNAcentral